GAAAAAAAAACUUAGUCAUGCUAUCCAAGCAAAAAUAAUUGGAAGACUCCAAUGAUGUAAAUGAUAAAAAUAGAUGUCUUCUCUCUCCAAAAAAACAAAUAAAUGUAUAAGAUGCCCUCUGAAGUUUGUGUGUCUAGCUUUUUUCCUUUUUCAUUUCCUUCUUGUGAAGUUGCUGUUUUCUUAUGACCAAAAAGAGAAUUUCUCUAGCUGCUUAUUUUGAGUAAAAGCACAUAAUUAGUGAGAUAUAAAGAUAAGCACAUAACUAGAAAGAGAAACCAAUGAAGGGGUCAUACCUAUGGUUCUGCAAUCUUCCAUUUCCAGUUGGCAGACAAGGAGCUUAGGCAAUGAUGAGAAGCAGUUGCUGUCACUCUACAAUUACCUCCUCAAGAAUGGGUUUGGAGUGAAGUGUUUCUUUGUGCCAUGCUGUGAGUUACUCAAGGAAUGGUUGGCAGAUUCUUUACAGUUGUGUCUGUUAUGUUAGUUGUGUUGGAUAUUUGCAUGAACUCUGGAAUUUUUAAAGUGAAUCUAAAUCCUUAGGACUCUGCAUGUACUUAUAAUCUUCCAAAUGUGCCUGAGACACUUUAUGAUCUUAUAACAUUAGAGCAUGGCAUCUGUGAUGCUUGUGGUCUCAGAUAUGCAGAGAUGUGGAGCUUUGUAAGUGCACUCCCACUAUGGAGUUUUGCAGAACUCUGACCUUUUGGAUUUGGUUGUGUAAAAUCUAAUGUAUCUGUGGCUUCACAAGGGAGGUGGGGAGCAUUGCCAGUGCCUCUAGGCGAAAGAAAGAAGCUUGGAAGCUUAUAUGAUCUGCUGCAUUCAGUGCAUCCUGAUGGUGUGAGGAUAAACUACUGUGGAGACUCACAGCAGACCAAACAUACUCAGUGAGACCCCCUUAUCAAUUCAUUAACAGUGAUGGUGCUCUUCCUGUAUUAUAGUGACAUGUGGAAGGGGAAUGCACCGGAAAAAUCAGAAUCUUCUGCUGGUUGGUGCUGAGAAAUCGAUUAUAGGCAGUAGAUGUUCUGAGAAGAAUGGGAUGGCAGGUUUCUUGCUUGUGUUCCCUCUUUGGUGCAGCAGAUGAGUUAGGGAGCCAUUUGUUCCUGCAUUGCUCUUAUAGCAAGAGAAUUUGGUUCGUGGUCCAGAUUUGUGUGAAAAUUAAAGAUCAUCCUCCAUCCCUACUUUUCUUGUGGACGUCUUGGCAAUUGAAGAGAAUAAAAAAAAAAGAGCUUCAGGAGAGGAUGGAUCAGUUAUUCUAGACUAUUUAUUGGAAUCCAUGGCAUGGACAAGAUGUAAGAAUUUUCCUGAAGAGAAGCCAUCCUGUGACCUAGGUGCUGAGUAAUGCAGUGAUGGAAAUCAUGGUUUGGGCCGCCGUACGUUCCCCUAGAUCUCAGCAGGCACAUGAUUUUGUGUCAAGAAAUUUCUCUUCUUUGCUUCAGGGCCCUCAAAGUUCCUUUUCUUCCAAAUCUUUUUUAUUAAUUCCUUCUGCUUUAUGCUGUCUUCUUGCUCUCCAUAAAUUGUAUGGUGGAAAGGGCUCCCUUUGCCCCCAGUUCCCUGUUUUUUUUUCUAAAAACAAGGGAAAAAGUAAAAAAAAAGAAAGAAAAGAAAGAGAAAAAAGAAAAAAAAGAAGCCGCCUUCUUAUUCUAGAUCUCUGCUCAAAAGCUGCAGCGGGAGCCUUCCCAAUCUUUGUGCAUAUUGUGUAUGAGAUAUUGAUUUCAGCCCCCAAAUUUACCAGUUAGACAUCUUCUUCAUACACGUGGUAUAUUCAGUGACCUUCUUGUCUGAGAAAUCCCAACUGAAGAGAGUUUCUUAUCAACAGAUGUUAUAUGGCUGCCUGUGCUGUUAUAUGUAUCAUGUGCACAAACGACCGAGAAAUUUAUUCCAGACAAUAUUCUGUCGAUACAGAUCUCUGUAGCUUCUAUUUGGCAAAAUGAAAUAUGUAUGACAAUGGAAAGGCCAAAUAUAAAAUGUAGAUGCAUGGAGAAACUCACUUCAAAUGAAUCCACAACACCUCACAAAAAGGAAUGUGCGAACAUUAUGGAUGGUAAUGUUAAGCAUCAAAAGCUACAUGGGAUGGAGUUCAGAAAUUUCUAUGUUCAAGUGAGGGACGUUGUGCAGUAAUGGCCUCUCAGUGCAGGCACAUACGGCUGCUCGGUGGUCUGUACUUUGCUGUGACCAUUUGUUGUUAAUUCGGUUUAUUGCUCAUGGAUAAGGUGUCUGCUGCGUAAAGUCAUUAAAUAAUUACCAUCUCUGAGUUCUUUCACGUUGAGACUUUCAAGCCUUAUUUGCCGAUCAUUCCUAUUAGGAGCUUGCUCCAGCAUAACCACAAGCUUUUCUCAAAUAAGUUACUUACAUUUUAAACUCAAAAAAUAAAUUGUAUAUAUUUUCGUAUAAACUAAAGUUGAUUCAGUGUUUCAGGACUUACUAACCUGAGAUGAAUUAAACCAGGAAUAUGAGGGAGCUUAUCCUAAUUGAGCCGCAAAACAAAUUUCAUGACAUCCGAUGGUUGUCAUGACAUCAUAGGAUAAAAACAAAAGUGCCGAUAUUUCAUAUUACAACUGAAGCAAAUGAGCCACCUAUGAUGGACUCAAAGAACCAGACCCUAUCCAAGCCCAUGUUCCCACUUCAAGCCUCAAAAAGAGAGACACAUGAUUUACAGUUUUGUAGAGCAAAAGCUACUUAUGUAGUGAAAGUUUUUUUUUCUUUUAACUUCAUAUUUAAAUGAAAAUGGGACCACUUGUGGUGGUUAUCUCAUCUAAUUGUGAAGAUACGUGCUGCUCUUUCUUUCUCAAAUUAAUUUUAGUGGAGUACACUGCAAUUUGAGAUAACUUUAGACUGUGAACGUAUUGAUUAUGAUUCAUUUUAUGUGAUCAUAAUUGAGACUAUGUGAUAAAAUAGGUUGAGUUUUAAGGAUGUUUGCAUGUAACCUUGAAUUUGUUCAUGGUUCAAAAAUCUAACAUCGGUAUUAGAGCCAGAUUAUUGUUUAUACUAGUCUAAAUACGAUGCAUAACAAGAUGUAUGUAUGCUAGAACAAUUAAACUUGCAUCUAUGAUUUUUUUUUUCAAUUCUGGAAUUUUGAUAACAUGAUCAUCGGGCCAUGUUUGAAGGUGCGCCUUUAUUUUUGUUACAAAGAUGGAGCGCACCCCUUCUGGAUAAGAUCCAGAAGGGAACGCUGCUUUGUUUGUUACGGUGAAACAGAGGGGUGUGCACCCCAUCUGGAUAAACUUUUUUGCUAUAGUGAAACAGAGAGGCUUGCGUCCCUCCUGGAUAAGCCUUUUUGUUACGAUGAAACAGAGGAGCUUGUAGAAAAAGAAAAAUAAAAAAAAAAAGAUGAGGUUCUUUGAAUUUUGAAUUCAAAAGAGGGGGCCACGCCCCAAUCUAUUUUCGUGCGAUUUUCUAUGAGGGAUUUGUUUCUUAUGAUAUUUUGGUUCCUUCGGGGUUUUGGGAUGGAUUUUUCCACUAAAAAAAAAUUUCACUAAGAUCCAAAUAUAUAUAUAUAUAUAUAUAUAUAUAAUUAAAAUAUUGGUGACAUAAAAAUAUUGAUCACUAGAAAUAUUUUUUUAUAAUUAUUGUUUAUCAUAUUUUUUGUAAAAUAAAAUGGUAUUUCAAUGGAUCUUAUUUCUGUAUUUGUUAUAGAAAAUGGUGUGAGUCAUGAGAACUCCGAAGAGAUUUUUUUUUGCUCAGCAAAGGACUAGGGUGGACAAAAUGAUCAAUGAGUUGAUCCAUAUGAAAAUGGAUCCUACAAACACCAAUAAUGAAUUGGUUCAACUGGUGAACCUCGUCAUUAGGGCACAUGGUUUAAUGCAAGAAAUUAUUGGGAAGGUGGUCUGAAAAUUGAAUUGGAGAAAUAUAGGGCUCUAAGAAUGAUUUUACGAAUACCUAGUCAAAAAAAGGUCCUAGAUUCAUUUUGGUGUAAGGAGAGUCAGAGAGCUCUUGGAUCCUAUUGAUGCACUGUGAAGAGCUUGAUCUAGGAAUAUGUUAAUUGAGUAGCUAGAAAGAAUUCAUGUUCUUUCUUGGAACUGUCUCUUCGUGAUGGAAAUCGAAGAGUUUUGGUAAAAUCGAUAUUGCCAAAAGUAGUUUACGAGUUUUCCGAAGGCCUCUAUGAUGAUCUUGUUAACUCAAUUCCAGUUACUUGGACUUCAUAUGAAAAUUGAUUGUUGUUUCCUUGUUUUUGCUAUGAAUUGAACUAUGUUAGUUCUGCUAUUAGCUAUUUUUUGUUUAGAAUGUUGAACAAUAUGUUUUGUGAUUAUAAAUAUUAUGUUAUUUUAUUUUCACAUAUUUGUAUAUUAUUGUUCAAUUUCUAAUUUUUUUUAUUUAUUUAUUUUCUAUGAAAAUUAAAUAUAGAUUAAGGAAAACUUAAUACAUUUAUUAUUGAAUAAAUUUAUUAGAUUCUCAAAUUUAAGGAAUUUAAGAAUAUUACCUUUACAUAAUUAAUUAUGUUACUUUUAUUAUAUAUUAGGAUAUUAGAUGAUAAUUAAGAAUAUAGUGAACUUUCGAUUCUAAACCUAAUGUAGAAUAAUUGUUAGCAUAAUUGAUAGUGUUAAGGUAGAUGUAUGUAUGUUAUUAGGUGCUAAUAAAUGUGUAUAAAAUGUCUAUAUAUAGAACAUUAGUAUUCAAAUGGCAUCAGCUGCGAAAAACAUAGUGGCCGAGCGUAACAAAGGUGAAAAACUCAAUGGUAACAAUUAUGAAAUCUGGAGCAUGAAGAUCCAGUAUGUGCCAGAGGAGCAAGAGGCUCUUGAAGCUCUUAACCUUAUCAUGAAAGUGAUUGAAACUGAAAAUACGGCCCAGCAUAGGAGGGACAGUGAGGCGUAUGAUGCCUGAAGAAAAAAAAUUCAACUGCUCGUAUUACGUUGCUAAGCAAUAUGGAUGAUGACAUUAUGCAGGAAUUCAAAAAAAUUGACUUUGCGAAGGACAUAUGGCCUGCACUUAAGAAAAAGUUUGGAAGCAUAUCAGUCACCAAACUGAGGGCUCUCACCAUUAAGUUCGACACUUAUAAGAAGCAUCCUAAACAUGACAUGAAAAAACAUCUAAGGGUCAUGUCUAACAUGGUGAAUGAGCUGAAGGAUGUCGGUCAUAUCUUAACGAUGAGCAGCAAGUCCAGACGGUGAUACUAACAGCUGGAAGUAUAUGAAAAUGCACCUGAUCCACAAUAUCCAUAUUAAGAAUAUGGAGGAUGCUCUGCAUCACCUUGAGCUAGAGGAGGAAUGCCUCUGCUUCAGCAAGCCAAGCACAGACGUGUACAUGGCCGGUUCCAGCUUUCAAGGAGGUAAGGGACGCAAGUGCAAAAACCAAGAUGGGAACCAAUAAAGAAAGGGUAAGGGUGCAGCCAACAAGAAACCAAAGAAUGAGAAAGCAAAAGGUCCUCUUAAAAGGAAGAAAAAGAACAUUACGAAGGUCAAAUAUUUCAACUGUGGCAAUAAGGGACAUUUUGCUCGUGACUGUACUGAGCUCAAAAAGAUAAACGGCCUUUUAGCACUUAAAAGUGCAAUAAAUGUUUCUAGUUCUAUUUUGCUUACUGAAUCUAAUCCUUUGUGGACUGUAGACUCAGGCACGACAGAUCAUGUAGCGAAGGAUCGAGAUGUCUUCAUAGAUUUUCGGAGACUCCCACAUGGGGCGAGAUGGAUUUAUGUCAGGAACAACUCCAAAGUAGAGGUGAAGGGGAUUGGCACAUGCAAGUUAGUCAUGCAUGGCCGUCGAACCCUAAUCCUGCAUGAUGUUCUGUUUGCUUCAAAAAUUUGUUGGAAUUUGGUUUCUAUUUUAGUACUGCUAAAAUAUGGUUUCAUUGUAUAUUUCCAUGGAUGUGGCAUGAAUUUGUUUUUAAAUUCAAGUUUUUAUGGUUCUAGAUAUUUUCUAGAUGGUUUCAUUGUGUUGGAUAUUGUUAAUGAUUCCAAUAAUGUAUGUUUUUUCCUUAUUUACAUCUUCUGAUGAGUCUUUGAAUGAUGUGAAUGUAUGGCAUGCUAGACUUGGCUAAAUAGGUCAACAAUGUAUGCAAAGACUGGCCAAAGGGGGCUUAUUAGAUAGUAUUAAUAAGGUAGAAUUGUCUACUUGUGAAUAUUGCCUAAUUGGAAAAAUAUGUAGAAAACCAUUUGGAAAGGGAACGAGAGCUGAAUUUCUAUUACAAUUAAUUCAUUAUGACAUAUGUAGUCCAAUGAAUGUAAGGGCUAGGCAUGGGGCUAUUUAUUUUAUCACAUUUAUAGAUGACUUUAUCCAAUUCGAUUACGUUUAUUUGAUAUCUCAUAAAUCUGAAGCUUUAAGUUGCUUCAUAAAAUAUUUGAAUUUAGUUGAGAAUCAAUUAGACAGAAAAGUAAAGGCUUUAAGAACUGAUCGAGGAUGAGAGUAUUGAUUUGAUCAGUUCAGAGAAUUAUGUGAUGAAAGAGGAAUAGAAUGACAGUUGGCUAUUCCAGAUACAUCAUAAUAAAAUGGUGUUGCGGAAAGACAAAAUAGAAUCUUGUUAGAAAUGGUUAGGUCAAUGAUAGCACAAGUUAAUUUGCCAAUUAUCUAUUGGGGUGAUGCACUAUUAACAGCCACAUUUGUACUUUAUCGAGUGCCUACCAAAUCUGUUACUUCCACAUUAUAUGAGUUAUGGAUGAUAGGCAAACUAGACUUAGGUUUUAUGAAACCUUGGGGUUAUGCUGCAUUUGCUCAUGAACCUUCCCAUAAAUUUGGAAAAUUAGGUCCGAGGGAGAAGAAAUGUAUUUUUAUAAGAUACUCAGAAUAGUCAAAAGGAUAUGUGUUCAUCGGUGAGUAAGAUAAUGGAAGUAUAACAGAAUUUGAAUCACGAGAUGUCACGUUCUUAGAGAACGAUUUUUUGUGGCAAAGUGAGAUAGGUCAAGACUUAUCUCUAUACAAAACUCUUGGUCAGGAUGUUUUCACUGUAGAAAUUCAAUCGGAUAUACUUCCGAGUGGGAGUAAUUUGAAUAAUGAUAAAUUUGUUUCUUCGAAUUCACAAUUGCACCCUAAAGUGAGUCCAACUGAGAUACCUGAUCCAAGUGGGAGUAACCAAGUCAUUGAAGAGUCAAUGCCACUACGACGAAUGAGUCAUAAAAGUGUUCCCCAUCGACGUUUUGAGAUCGAAGGAGAAGCAUUUAUCGUUACUCCUGAUGAAGAGGAGCCAAGAAACAUUAAUGAGGCUCUUUUAUAUCCUACUAAGAAAAAAUGGAUUAAGGCAAUGGAAGAGGAAAUGGAGUCUAUGAAUCAGACCAAGUUUGGAAACUGGUCGAUUUGCCUUUGGGAUGUAAAGCAAUUAGAAACAAGUGGGUUAUCAAAAUAAAGUGUAAGGCAGACGGCAGUAUCGAGAGAUACAAAGCUCAUCUAGUGGCUAAAGAGUACACACAAUAGGAAGGAAUAGAUUAUGAGGAAAUUUUUUCACCUGUUGUAAGGUUAACCUCGAUAAGAUUAAUUUUGGCUGUGGUGGCUAACUUGGAUUUUGAACUACAUCAAAUAGAUGUGAAGACUGCUUUUCUCAAUGGAGAAUUAGAGGAAGAAAUCUAUACGAAACAGCCCAUGGGUUUUGUUAAAGAAGGCCAAGAACACAAAAUGUGUAGACUUUUGAAGUCAAUUUAUAGUCCCAAACAGUCUUCUAGACAAUGGUAUAUAAGAUUUCAUAAUGCAAUCAUAUCAUAUGAUUUCACUAUGAUCAAUAAGGAUCAUUGUGUAUAUACCAAAAAGUCUAAGGAUAAAUUUGUUAUCUUAUCUUUGUAUGUAGACGAUAUACUGAUGGCCGAAAAUGAUAAGAGGUAUAUUAACACUAUCAAAGGAUGGUUAUCAUCUAAUUUUGAGAUGAAAAAUAUGAGCGAAGCUGUAUAUAUCUUUGGAGUUAAGAUUUCAAGGGAUUGCUCAAAGAAGUUAUUGUCUCUUUCAUAAGAGUCGUACAUUAAGAAGGUUCUAAAGCGAUUCAAUAUGCAAGAUUGCAAAUCCAUAGAUACUCCCAUUUUCAAAGGUGAAGUUUUAAGCCGAAGGUUAUGUCCUAAGACUUUAUAAGGAUCAGAUGAGAAAUGUUUUUUAUGCCAAUGCGGUCGGAAGCCUUAUGUACGCUAUGAUAUGUACUAGACCUGAUAUUUGCAAUGCAGUCAACAUGGUAAGUAGAUAUCAAUUUGAGCUUGGGCAAACACAUUGAAAAGUAGUGAAGAGGAUACUAAGGUAUCUCAAGGGCACAGUUGAUUACUCAUUGUGUUAUCAAGGAGGUGAUCUACAAUUGAAAGGCUAUACGAAUGCUAACUGGGGAAGAGAUCUGGAUGAGAGAAAAUCUAUCUCUGAAUAAGUCUUCUUACUGAAUAAUGACGCCAUAUCAUGGAGCAAUAACAAACAAUCAUGUAUAGCCCUAUCUACAAUGGAAGCUGAGUUCGUAGUAUUUUCAGCUGCUGUGAAAGAGGCUGUUUGGUUAAAGCGGUUUUUGAUACACUUGGGAGUAUCUGACAGUACUGUUGACCCGAUGACUAUGAAUUGUGAUAGUCAAGCAACAAUAGCUUAUAUGAAGGACCCCAAGUAUCAUAAAAAAAUCAAGCACAUAGACAUUAAAUAUAAUUUUAUUAGGAACAUGGUUGCACAUAGAGAAGUGAAUAUGAAGUACAUUUCUACAUACGAGAUGAUAGCACAUCCAUUUACAAAGUCUAUUAUAAAAGAUGUUUUCCAUAGGCAUAUAAAGUCAUUGGGUUUGCGUAGAUGUUGAUGUACUUGUAUUUGAAUUUAUUUUCCAACAUGUUCAUGUAAAUAAUAUUGUUUGUGGUAAUGUGAUUGACGUUUAAUUGCAAUUUGUUAUGAAACAUACAUACACAUUUAUGUUGAGUACAUAAACCAAUUAUUAUGAGAAGUAUGUUGGAUAGAUAAGAAGACUAGCCUCCUCACACAGGCAAUCGCCUCCAUGACCUAAGUGGAAAUGGAGAUGAGACUGUUAUAAGUUUUAUUAUCUAGAUGAUAAUAUUGAGAGCUUAAACUUAUAACAUGAAAAAUCGUCUCAAGUGAAACGAGAAUAAAGAGUCACAUUAUGUGAUUGAGUCACAUUAUCUGUCUUGAAUGCCAGAUGUGAGUUCCAAUGUAUAAAGAUAGAGUAGACUAAGGAACUCAAAGUUAGGUAUUGAGUGUGUCUGAACUAUUAUCUGUACGAUAUCUGAUAUAGAGACAUAUGCUCUAUGGGAAAGGAGAUGAUACCGUAGCAUAUGAUUCAUGCCACGUGUACUUGUGUCUAAUAAGGGGAAUACAAGUUAAGAUCUCUGCUUGUUAUUGUGUGAGAUCCUAAAGAUUAUAAGUAAUCUUUACCUAUACCCUCGUGACUCCGAUCUGUUACUUAAGACUUAGUUUAAUGUUUGCUAUCUUAGGGUGUUGCCAAAGGACUAUGUUAGAUAUGGUCUAACGGAGCAUUCCUGGAAAAGCAAAUUAAAUUAAGAUCGAGAGAAUCAAGAGAAGAGGAAGAUCAUUGAGUAUUAUCAUAUUGGUUGUGUUCAUUGACUAGUCAAUUAUGUUUGUCUAAGUGAUAUGACAUAAUUAUGAACUCCAAUGCAUUUAAUGAGAUAAGAAGAGAUGUAAAUGUGAUAAAUGAUCUAGGGUACAGCAUACUGCAUCUACUCUAACUCCACCAAUCGAGGAGCUAUAUUAUCCUAAUAGAUGUAUAGUACUUGAGCUCUCAAAGUAUGCACUGGUCACACGGUCUAUUUGUUUAGUAUGAAAGUUGCAGUGGUUAAGAAUGAACUUAAUCCCAUCAUGUGUGAGUGGGAGAUGAAGCAAAUAAACCAUCCAUGAUAGACUCAAAGAAUCAGACCCGUAUCCAAGCCCAUGUUGCCACUUCAAGCUUCAAAAAGAGAGACACGUGAUUUGUAGUUUUGUAAAGCAAAAACUGCUCACUUAGUGGAAGUUAUUUUUUUUGAACUUCAUAUUUUUAUGAAGAGGGACGUUACUUGUGAUGGUUAUCUCAUCUAAUUGUGAAGAUACGACUCUAAUGUAUGUAGGCAAAAACAAGAGAAAUUGAAAACUCUUCUCUGAUGCCUUAAGUGGGUGCUGCUCUUUCUUUCUCAAAUUAAUUCUAAUGAAGGACACUACAAUCUGAGUUAACUUUAGACUAUGAACAUAGGAUUAUGAUCCAUUUUAUGUGAUCAUAAUUGAGACUAUGUGAUACAAUAGAUUAAGUUUUAAGGGUGUUUGCAUGUAACCUCGAAUUUAUUCAUGGUUCAAAAACAAAUUAAAGUAGGAAUACGAGGGAGCUUAUCCUACUUGAGUCGCAAAACAAAUUUCAUGACAUCUGAUGGUUGUCAUGACAUCAUAGGAUAAGAACAAAAGUGUCGAUAUUUCAUAUUACAACAAUGACCUUCCUCAAAGUAGAAGAUCUAUCAUUGACCAUUUAUCUUCAUCGUACAACAAACACACUAUGAAAGUUGGGUAUAAAGAUGCUACCUAUACGCUUAAGUUUUUCGUGAAGCAUACAAGGAAGAUGUGCUAGGAGCCACAAAGCUGCAAUAUCUCCAAAUUGACCAUCUAAAAUAUAAGAAGACACAAACAACAAUGACAAGCACAGAUACUUGAAUUCAUUUUGAUGAAUAUGCUAACCCUUUUACUCACAAACUACAUCAACCUUGUCAUUUUCAGAACAAUUAAGACAAGCGAUAACUGGUUUCCUGAACCAAUAACUGGUUACUGUGAAGCUCCUUUUUUAAAACAAUUCAUUUGAAAGUAAUGAGCCAGAAAUAUCAGCUACUCACUCAAAUCAUCAUCCAGGAAAUCAAGAUCAGCAUCAUCUUCAUCAGUUGCAGCACCCAUGGUGGCAGGAUGAACCUCUAAUGGCUCAACUAUUUCAGGUAAUGCGACAAUUUCUGUAUGAUCUUUCCGUGAUGCUGUAUCUGAACCUUCAUUCUCAUUCACAUCAUUUUCAUAUGCCUCUGCUUGUUCUGCCUCAUUAUAAAGAAUCUCCUAUAUUCACAAGAGAGCAAAUUAAUUCAGUUAAUAAUCAAGAGAAAAAAAAAAAAAAGACCCAGCAAAAGGUAAAAGAAAAAUAUUAGUGCUACCUCAUCUUCUUGGAAAGACAGCUUCUCAGACUCAACAACCCAAUUAUCUAGUAAGCUCUCUAGCAUGCCACUGUCAAGAGAUAUGGAGCCAUCAGUAGUUCUCUUUAAUUGUCGCUCCCUAAGACGCAAGUUGUAAUGGACAUAAGCAAAAUCAUUUAAUUUCUUCUGGGCCAAACGGUUAUGCCUUGUACUAUGAAUUUGAUCAAAUAUACUCCAAUGGUGUUCACAACCAAAGGACGUACAUGUCUGGCUCAAAAUGCGAAUAGCAAUUCGUUGCAAUUCAAGACAAUUUAUCCCAUGUUGUUGCCACCACGCAGCUGUCAAUGAAAGGAAGAACAAGAACAACAAAGAAGCAAUGGUUCAAACUCUAUUCUGCCAUAACAAUAAGACAACAACCGCAUCUGACAAAGGAUGCACAAGGCAAUAUAGUUUAUAAGCCAUAUAGUUUCGCGUGCUGAUCAUAUGAAUUAUCACCUGGAUCCAGCUCCAUUCUUGUACUCAAAGCCAGUUCAGUUCCAAAAUCAGCUUUAGCAAAAACAAAAUCAGAAAUCUAGGAUGAACAACAUAAGAUCACAGAAUAUUAAUAAAAGAAUCUGUUAGAAAAUUUACAGGUUAUCAUGAUAUUAAUGGUUAAAAAAUGAUUUAAGUUAGACAGACAGUACCUGCGAAGCAGCAGAAACUCUUCUUCCAUGAUCUGGUUCUAGUCGAGUUAUGCAUUCAUUUAGACCUCGGAUAACCUCUGGUAGCUACAAAUUAGAAAAUAACAAUUCAAAAUUAGAAUACAAACAUUGUACUCUUGGGAUUUAAGCAUGCGAUGCUAUAAUCAUACCACCAUGAAAUCUGGACGAUAACGAUAUGAUGGAUUAAGGAAGUAUGCUGCAACAUAUAGGGCAUGGUUGAAAACAGCACUCCAAUGGUUGUCUAUUACACUCCAGAAGGGACCAUAUUUUCGCUCAUCAUCAGCAUGGAUGGCUUUAAUAGCAAGUUUAGCUCGGUAGAUGUCAUUAUAAAUAGAUGGCAUAGACAACCCUUCAGUGCUGUCAACUUUUUUAAACAUCUGUACAACAGGAUCAACAGAUUUUUUAACAUAUUGCAUCUUCUUCCAGAAUGUGGAGUUGAAGACAAUUUUUUCAACUUCUUUACCCUCAUCUGAUUUUGCUAAUUGGGACAAAAUCCAUUUAUUUGAUUGGAACAUUCUUCUGAGAGCAGCCCUAUGAUCCAGCAAGCUUUGUAAAGUAAGAAAGCUGGUUGCAAACUUGGUAACAGCUGGUCUAAGAAGUUCCUUUCCCGCUGUAAAUUCCUUUUUCAUAAGGUUUAACAACCAUAUGCGGUUAUAAAUAAAUUUAACAAUUUUUUGGCCUUUGUCAAUGCACUCUCUGACCCAUUUUAUCUUCACAAAAUCCUCAAGAAUUUGAUCGAUGCAGUAGGCAGCACAGGGCGUCCAAAAUAAACUUCUCCUCUUCUCCUCCAGCAUCUUCCCAGCAGCUUUAUAGUUUGCAUUAUUUUCUGUAAUUACCUGUAAUAAUAAUUCAUGCUACCAAGAAAUUACCAUCAAAGUAUAAUGAAAUAUUCAGGAAAAAGUCUCAAACUCAGAAUGUAGAUUUCACUCUAUAAUGUAUGUGAUCAGCCAAAAACUUAAGAAAUUGAAAGAAAAAGAGUUAAGUACCUGUACAACAUUUCCCUCGCCUACCUCCUCCACAACAUUGUCCAAGAGCUUAAAAAGACUGGUAACAUCUUUGAUUACAUCAGAUGCAUCAAUGGAGGAAAUGAAGUAUGUCCCUCUGGGGCAAGACACCAAGAAAUUGACUAUUGUCUGUCCCUGCACAUCUUUCCAGCUAUCUGCGAUAAUUGUACAGCCAGUUGUAGCCCAAGAAGCCUUGAUUUCUACAAGAUAUUCUUUAAUACUUCCAACUUCAUCCUGCAGACAUCGACCAGAAAUUAAUCUGGUUGUAGGGCUUUUUAAUCCAUGUCCAUAUUGACCAACCACAUCCAGCAUCUUGUGAAAGUAUGGCGAAUCUGCGACAUUGAAAGGUAUUGCAGCAUAAUAGAAAAAUUUGCAGAUUGCAGAGGUUACUUCUUUACGGCUCUUUUUUUCAGAUCCUGCCUUCUGUUUUGAUUGCUUGCACCAUAAUGGUACCUGGCUUUUCUGUGUCUUUGCAAUUACAGCAUCUGGAUUCAUCUGUUUCAGUUGUAGGUCAGUAUCGCUUGUACCACUUUCCAGUGACCUCCCUCUAGAUCUUUUUCUUAUGGUUUUACUACAAGAAACAUCUUGAUCACCCAUCAUACGAUUUGCUUUGUUUUUACCAUUUGCAAGCCCUUCUUCCUCAUCAUUGUCUGGAUGCAUAUAUAAUGCUGCAAGUUCUUUGGCUUCAGGCCUUCUUCUCCUUCCUGUGCGAUGCCAUUUCAUAUUUUCUUUCAUUUUAAGAUAUACUUCCUCGGGAGCCAUCUUACAGUAUGCAACUUCCCCAGGAAUUCUGGCUAAAUGCUGUUUGAACCUGUUUAUACCACCACUAACUAUUUUCUCACAAUAAUUGCAUUUAACCUUUUUUUCUUCUCAUCUUGAGCAACGCCAUGUUCCCAUCCUGGGUCAACAUACCCUAAUGACCGUAGUGGGGCUAUAGCUGUGACCAAGCUUUGAUCAUUUCCAAUCUGCCUUCCCUUGCGUCUAUAACCAACAGGUUCUUCAUCCUCUUCAUCAUCAUCAUUUGAAUGUAAAUCGAAGGAUUGCUCUUCAUCCUCUGAUUGUCGUUUUUUGCUAGCCCUGUAUCCUUCAAGAUUUUCUUUCAUUUUCAUAUACACCUCUUCAGGAGCCUUUUUACAGUAUGUAACUUCGCCAGAAAUUCUAGCCAAAUGCUGCUUCAAUCUGUAUAUUCCCCCGCUUACUAUUUUCCCACAGUAAUUGCAUUUUACCUUUUUCUUCCUCUCAUCUUGAGCAACACCAUGUUCCCAUCCAGGGUCAGUAAACCCUGUUAAGCGAAGUGGAGCCAUCUCUUCAACCAUUAAUCAUGCAGCACAACAGCUUCACCCUUUGGCAUCCUAUUAUCUAGCUUCUACAAAACUGGAAAAAGAGCACACCUACAUUAAAACUUGAAUCAAGAAAAGAUGUUUUCCUGAGAUCACUUGUAAUUGGUGAGAAACUCUGUCAGUAACAGCAUCGUCAUAAAGAUCUUGGCAGCAAGCCAGGAGAAAAAAGGAAGAAAACAUUUUUGUCUUACACAUGAGUUAUCUGAUAAGACUAAAAAGAAGAGAGAAGAAUAUUGAGACAUUGUGCAUUGGCGCCUGUGCACACACACAUAUAUAUAGUAUUAAGUAGCAUGAAAUAGAUAUGUUUUAUGAAACAUCCAUCCACAACUCUCUAUGUACAUCUUCUGAUGCCACUAACCUUUAAUUCAUGUAUGGUUUGUCAAGGAAUAUGCAACCAUGUAAACUGAAAAGCAUCCGGAUUGCUAAACAGAGAGGAAAGAGCUAUACUACAUGGACUCAGGUUCAUGUGUUGGGUGUGGCUGCAUGUCAAAGUGUCUGAUUUUCAAUACCUACGAAUAUCUCCUUGUGAAGCCAUGCCCCAGUGCCAUACCAGUGUUCAUGUGUUGGGUACUACAUGGGGGAAUAGAAAGAAAACUUAGAUAUUAUGAUUAUUGCUUUAUAAAUGUCAUUAGCAUCUUAAAAGUGAGAUGCAAAACAUGAAACAGAAGUCAGAGAAGAAGCUCCAUUGCUUGAUGUAAACAGUUAGCCACAUUUAAUUGGUUGGCUAAAUUCUGCAUAUCACAAUUGAAUGAAAACAUAUGCAAGAAAACAUGAUCCAAAAGUUUACCUGCUACCGUUCAAGACAACUUUCUGCCAGAUUAAUCCAUCACAAAUAUUAUGUAAUGUUGUGGACCUUUUAGGAUGAUGGUAACAUUGUUUUGACAUAAAGACUUCGUGACUGCAACAUCAAAGUCAGCCAUUCCCUGAUCUGAAUCCAUCCAGCAAUAUAGAUACUAAGAUAUUUAUGGUAGAGAUAUCCACAAAAAGGCCUCAAUAUAGUGGAAGCUGGAGAAAAAAAUCAUGCAACCUGAAAAAUCACUAGUUCCUUGCUCCUUGCAUAUUGUACUUUGCUUGGUUGAUAUGCUGGGAUUUCUACUGUUGCAGAUUUCCUGAUGAGUAACACUGCCACUUUGCGACUCCAGGAGCCACCAAACAGGAAUUUUUUCCAAACAAAACCAUUACGCAAAGCUGAAGAUUCUCACUUAAACCUAUCUUAACUGACAAAUAUAAUCAAUCCAAAAUGUACUAAAAGAAGCACAAGUCUUCAGCUGGAACAACAAAGGACAAAAAUGGAACAUGUUGAACAGCAUGGAAAUUUACAGCCUCCUGACAAACUGCAAUUUCAAAAAUGUCAAAAACUGAAUCAAUAUAGUUCAUUAAUGUUCUUAUUUUCAGUGCUUCAGGUUAAUAAUUCAAAUGUGAUCAAUUUUCUAUGAAGCAUGUGUAGAAAAAUACAAAGGAACCAAAGAGCCUUAUUAAGUCCUUUCAAGUGUAACUUUACAAGUCAGAGGAACAGAAAGUAACAAUUAUAUAUACCUGGCAACAAGAAUAUUUCUGUGAAAGUACAUACUUAACCGACCAACCAACAGCGUUGUAUAACCAUUAUAUAGCUGAACUAGAAUUUGUUAUUUUUUGAUUGGAAGCAGACUAGGUGAAACAUUCUUACAAAAGACUGCUGCCAAUUAUGACCAUUAUGAAGAACAAAGAACUACACCACCAUUCUUUAAGUGAGAUGAUGAUGGAGGCAAACCAAAUAACACUCAAGACAUUAAAAUAUCAAUAAAUCCAGUUCUUAAAAUUGAUAAUGCAAAUCUGGAAAAGAAUCAUCAUGCGUCAAUAAACCUUUAGCAUCAUAUAGCCUUGCUUUCAAACGCUUCAGCUGUUUUGGGAGGACAAAUAUAGAUGAGUUAACCUGUAAAUCUCUUUCCAAGGAAGCAUAUUCCUCAAUAAACCUUUAGCAUCAUAUAGCCUUGCUUUCAAAGGCUUCUGCAAUUUUGGGAGGACAAAUAUAGAUGAGUUAACCUGCAAAUCUCUUUCCGAGGAAGCAUAUUCCUCUUAAUUAUUCUGCCUGGGGCAAAUUGAGGUGGCAGUUCAGUUUAGUGGAGAAGCAUACACUUCGGAAAAUGGUGGUUACAAAUAUUGUAAUUUUUCAAUUUGUUCAUGCAUUGAGGUAUAAUCUACAUAGCAUGAUAUUUUCCAAUUUCUCAUUAAAUCCUUAAUUUCCCAAGCUCAUCGACUUUCCUACUCUAGUACUCCAUAAAAUAUGAUUUGGUACAAAAAAGAAUUUAGAAAAGGGCAUCCCAUUGGACAAGGCUCCUGCCACUGCCAGGUUUGAGAAGGGUUUGACGUAGGGGUGGCAAACGGGUCGGGUCGGUCAUAAACGAGUCGGAUCAGAAAAUGGUCAACCCAAACCCAACCUGUUUAUUAAACGGGUCAAAAAUUCAAACCUGAACCCGACCUGUUUAUUAAACAGGUAACCCGACCCGACCCGUUUAACCCGUUUAUUAAAUAAGUCAAAUUAGGUUAAACGGAUUAAAUAGGUUAAACGGGUCAAAUUAAAUGGGUCAGAAACAGGUUAAACAGAUUUUAAACAGGUUAAAUGGAUCUUAAACAGGUUAAACAGGUCGGAUUAAAUGGGUCAGAAAUAGGUUAAAUAGGUUAAAUGGGUUAUCUGACUCAAUCUAAUCUAAAUAUUAAACGGGUUAAACGGGUUAGAUAUUUAAAACCCAUAUCCAACCCACUUAUUAAACGGGUUAAACGGAUCGACCCGUUUAUGAUCCGAAUCCGUUUAGCCUAAACCCAAACAUGUUUAUGGCGGGUCGAAUACGGGUCGGAUUGGCGGGUCGGAUCAUAUUUUGCCAGCUCUAGUUUGACGUAUGCAGCCCUACCCCCACAUGCAGAAGAAGGGCUAUUUCUGUUCCUUGAACCAAUGACAGAGUAAACUUGCCAUUGCACCAAUGCCCACCUUGUUUUCAUCUAAAAAGGAAUUUGUGAUCAUUUAUUCUCUAAAUUCCAUUCAUAAUUCAAGUCCACAUGGAACUAUUGCCAUUAAGGCUAGGUCAGAAUGAAGCAAAUUUGCCUGACUUUGGGGAGUGAGGCAUGGCAUCGAACAUCUUCCAAUACUCUCAUCAACCAACACUACAUCAUUCUCAAAUAACCUUCGCUGAAGAGUCUCCUCUAGCAUUUGAACAGUUGUGCACUGAAAAAGUCAAAAAUGACAUGCACUUAAAGUUUAUCCCAAGCAAAGGCUUGUUCCUGUGACAAAGUCCAAAACCUAGGUAUCAUGUAUGCCUAUUGUCACUCCUAUUCACAUAUCUUUACCUCCGGCAAUAUUUACCCAUUCGAAAUUUGUUAUUUCAUGACCCAUCAAACAAGACAUUCGCAUCUUAUAUAAGUACAAAUUCCAUUACAUGGUGAUCUUAUCCUGCCAGCUUGAGCUGAAGCUCUCAUUAUCUACUCCUUUAUCUAGUUACACUGUUACAACUCAACUGCAGCUAGAUAUUAAAGCUUUUGCUUUAUUUUUCUAAAUUGCAAAUCGGGAUUUCCCAAAUUCCAACCCACAAGAGCUGAUUUGGCCAGGUAGGUGUUCUCCCAACACGAAAUGCAGUUAUUUUGAUAACCCUAUAAGAACAGCCAGACAUAUGCGCCAUUUUACAGCAGGUCUUACACCCCCCAUUUGUACUAUGAUCUGCAAAACCCUUUGUUUAUAUGAACCGCACUUUAAGAGCAGCUUUAAAUUAUACAUUUGCCUUAAAAUUUAAAUCUUUGAGAAAAAUUUCGUUACAGAAUUCUGAACGACAAAACCCUAAUCGCAAAUCUAACCAAACUAUGGUCGAAUCCAUGGCGAUGACAGUCCACAAAGCCACUUACAAGCCCCGAUCUUUAAUAGAUAAAUCCUCAACUGGUGCUACGAGCAAAAUUCCACUGCAACUCUCCACCCAUGCCAUCUAGAUCCACCAGUACAAAAAGUAACUUCCAAUCCUUCAAAUCCCUCUUAAAAAUCCAAACCUCCGACAAAACCAUCAUUCCUAAAUUCCAAAACUAGAAACCCCUGGUCCCCAAUUCAACGGAAGCAAAACCUAAACCAAGAACAUCAAAUAAAACGAAACUCUAGGAGAAAAAAGAGAUCGAAGCUACUCCCAAAACCGAACCAAAUUAAACGAAAUGAAGAAGAAGCGGACUACUCAAAUAUCAUCGAAAUUCUCGAUUGGCAACAAACAGAUGAGAUUUUUGGAACUACCUCAGGGAAGAUUUGGCUCAGAAUCGGAGGUUUUCUUGCGCGGUACGCACUCCAUCGCCUCGGGGGCACUCCAUCCUGAUCACCGCUUAUUCUCGUCCUCGCGCGUUGACUCGGAGGGGAUAUAGGAAUGAGUCAAGACUGGCGCUAGCAGACUCGGAUCUCAUCCGAACCCGGUCCAAGACUCGGCCGUGCGGUUCGACCCAGCCCGAUUUAAUAACGUGUCAACAAGUUUAGCGUUGCUUCUAGCCAAUGGCCAAUAAUUUAACAGAAAGAAGUAUAUAUAAGACAAUUGGGUCAAAAAUAACUGAUGGAGUCCCGUUGACCUUAAGUUGACCGGAAAUAGGAUGCAUAACCAAUAUUUUUGGAAGAUUUUACUGCUUAAAUCAUGCGUUCUUGUUGUUCUUUUUUAAAAACUUCCGCUGGAUGAAUAUUUUUGGAUGGGGAUUAAAACAACUAAGAAGAGAACUAGAGCAUAUUUAUAUCAGUGAUUUCUUUUUUUUUUUUUAAGGUUAUGGUUAUUAGAUGAUGGUUGAGAAUUGCAAUAUGAUAAACAAAGGAAGGAAAUAUAGAAGAAAUACAGGUAUCAAUGUGCAAUUUUUUCUGUGCCCAUGUAGUUGGAGCACCAAUACACCUUCAUCAAGAAAGAAAAUCAAAUGGAGAAUGUUUGGUUCGCAGGAAGAACUUUUUUUUCUUAAGAUGUAAUUUUCUGAGAAAUAACUUCUCAGAAAGUUAUUUUCUGGGAAUAGAAUUUUAGUAUGUUUGGUUGACCAUGGAAAGAUGACUUAUUAUAAAGUAGCUUAUGUUUGGAUNNNNNNNNNNNNNNNNNNNNNNNNNNNNNNNNNNNNNNNNNNNNNNNNNNNNNNNNNNNNNNNNNNNNNNNNNNNNNNNNNNNNNNNNNNNNNNNNNNNNNNNNNNNNNNNNNNNNNNNNNNNNNNNNNNNNNNNNNNNNNNNNNNNNNNNNNNNNNNNNNNNNNNNNNNNNNNNNNNNNNNNNNNNNNNNNNNNNNNNNNNNNNNNNNNNNNAGAAAAAAAAAAUACUAUCACUUUUCAUAUCAUGAUAAGUGUCAAAAUCCACUUUCUCCAUGAAUUUUUAUUUUUCAUAAAAAGUACUUUUUUCACUCUCUCUCUUCUUAAAACUCCAACCAAACAAAAGGUACUUUCUUCACUUCUCAAGAUGUGCCUCUUCCUCCCUUCAUUUUUUGUCAACCAAACGAGUCCUAAGGAGAGGAUCUGCACUGAAAAUAAAUGACCCCGAUCAGCUCAUGAAUCUAAUCCCUUGGGAAAGAUGGGGCAGAGCCCAACAGUACGUAAUUUACUUCUCAUCCAUAGACUCUCCAUCCAUCCGAACAGAGAUGAGAAGCUCGCCAAGAUGGCUUCAAAGAUCCCUCCUUUCGUCUCUUUGUAAGGCUUUUCAGCUCCAAUAUUUUCAGACUUUUGGGAUAUUGAACAAAGAUAUCUUUUCGAGAAGCUGUCCAAGUUUUGCACCUUUUUUGGUUCCAGGAUGAUGGAGGUCACAAGUUUUACUCUUUCUCGAUCUCUAUGUGCCUCAUAUAGUUGAUCUUUCCAUAUCUAAAAUUAAUACAACGAGCAACCAGCUCUUGCUGCUUUAAAUAGGGAUCUAUCUCGUGUUGGAUGUCGAAUGGCCACUUUUUUUUGUUGUAAACUCAUAUGGUUCUUCCUCCUCUAUACCUAGUAAAUUGGUGUACCAGGUGUCCGAUGAGACACAUAUUGGAAGAAUUGCAACUUGAGAUGCACGAAAAGCUCUACAUCGGUGGAGCUUGGAAUCCAAAUUCUACUGUCUUCAUUUCCUUCUACAUCGGUGGAGCUUGGAAUCAACUCACUGGUGUCGAUCACCUAGUAGCCACACCCGUUUUCCUUGUACUAUUCUUGGCUUCCUUGGUUCUCAAGGUGGGAGUAAUUACUAAUUAUUGGAGUUGAUCCCAGGGCUAUAAAAGGAUUGGAUGUGGAUCAGAUAUCAUUAUAUCUAUAUCAAUAUCUAUUUCUAUUUAAUGAAGAUGGAUGCGGAUACAUAUAUUAGUUAAAUAUAAAAAUUUAUAUCUAUAUAUUUUAUAAAUUUCAUAUAUUUAAAAAUAUAGACAUAAAUAUAAAUAUAAGUCGAAUAGUUAAAUUUUUUAAUGGGCAUCAGAUCAAAGAUAUUACUAAAUAGAAAGUAAAUUAUGUUAAUAUCAUGGUCACUUAUUUCCUCUGAAAGUUCGUUGAUGCUAUAUAAAAUUAAGUAAAAUUACAAAUAGAAUUAGAUACUCGAAUAUGAAUGGAAUAAUUAUCUACCUAUGUUUACAUCUAGUUUUCUUUGAUGUAUAUAAAAAUAUGAUAUCGGAUGUUUAAAUUUAUAUUAAUAUCAAGAUAGAUUCAUAUAUGAAAAUGGAUUCAGAUAAAUAUUAUCUAUACGACUAUGCCCUAAUACAUCUAGGGGGAGUUUGGUUCGUAAUCGAAAUCGGAAUGGUUUGGAAUCAGAAUCGAAAUGGUCAAAUCCUCCGAAGUAUUUGGUUUCGUGAUCGGAAUCGGAAUUGGAAUGAAAAUUUGAAUCCAUAGAGGAGAGUAGGGAUUGAGUGCUAUAUAGAUUGAGCCAUUCCCAUUCUACCUUAAAAUCGAAAUCGGAAUAGGACUCUUCCCAAUCAAAUGGUUGGAAUGGGAGUCAUCCAUUUCGAUUUCGAUUCCAAACCCCUACUCUCUCCAAUCAAACACCCCCUAGUUGAUUUAACCGCUAAUAUAUGGAUUUAGUCUUUUAUUUGGCAUAUAGGGAUUAGGAUUUAUUCCAUAGCGUAAACAAAAGGGAUGAGACAGCAUGUCAACGGAAAGGCCCAUGGCAUAGAGAAAUUAUUAGGUAGAUGAGAUCCACCAUGGACGUAGGGAAGAUUCAUCAUGGAUGAAGAUUCAUCAUAGAUGGAUUCAUUUCAUUUCAUCCUAGGUCUAUGGUAGACUUAGUCUACCAACAACAAGGCCAUGGCUCGAGCUCUCAGCCCUUAUCGAUUUUGCAGGAUGAAUGGAUGUCAUAAUUUGUGGCAGCCCAGAAAAAGCAGAUAAAAACUUUGCAUGUGUACAUGUCAAAGUAUAUAAUGAAGUACUAACGAUGCUGCGCUACAUUGCUAUUGUUAAAAAAUUUUAUAAAACAAAAAAAGAGGCAUUUGACUGCUAGAUUAUAUAAAGAAUACAUAUGCAUCAUGGAUGGCAUGGAAGGACAACCUCCAAAAACUAGCAUCCUGAACUCCAUGAUGCAUGGCCUACGGGCUCUACCUUGGAGCUUAUAAUGAGUCUAGCUAGCUUCCACGGACUCGCAUCCUAAUCUCCAAUGAUGCACAGUCUGGAAGCUUUACUUAGGAGCUCGAAAUGACCCUGGUCGGCCACCAAGGACUUGUGUCCUGAUCUUCAGGGACGUGCGGCCUAAGAGCUUAGUAUGGCUCUGGUCGGCACUCCAGAGACUCGCAUCCUGUGUACAUGGUACUCGCAUCUCAGAUGAUAUAGAAAGGCAAUCUCCAGGAACACACAUCCUAAUCUCCAGAGAUGAGGGGUCUGAGAGCUAGGCCAGGGAGAUCGAAAUAGCUCUAGUCGACCUCUAGGGACUUGCACUCAAUCUUCAAGGAUAUGGAGCUUGAGAGCUCAGCCUUCAAGGACUCAUGUCUCAAUCUUCAGGAAUGUACAAUCGAGAGCUCGGCUUGGGAGUACUCGAUAUAGAACUCGCAUCCCAAUUUUGAGCUAGGGGCUCUAAAUGACUCUGGUCGGUCUUCAAAGACUCGCAUCCCAAUAUUCAAGGAUAUGCAACCUAGGAGCUCGGCCGGAUAGCUUGACAUUGGAGCUCGGCCUCCAAGGGGUGGCAUCCCGAUUUCUAGGGAUUUGCAACUUAGGAGUUCUACCUCUUGGCCGCAUGUAAUCCUAAAUCAUAUUAAAAAAAAUCCUAAAGCCAUCCUAAAUAUGUGUUUAAUUUUUUUUAAUAUACAAUACUCGGCUGCAUUUCACUCUAAAUCACAUUAAAAGAACCUAAAAUCCCACAUAUGCAUAUAUGCAUGUGUAUAUAAUAUACACAUACAUAUAUAAAUCAAGAAAAAUUGGGGAUAAGGCAGAUGCUAAAUCGUGCCAAACCUACGUCGCUAUCAGAACUAUUCUUUUUUUUGCCUCUUCCAAUGGAGUGAAUCCAAAUAAGGGAGGGGAGCAGUUUCAAAUUCUAGAGGCAUUCGCACGUAUGUGUAGAUAACUUCCCAUCCACAUACUAGCCCUUUUGUGAAAAGAGAAGCCGUGGUAGAGGAGGGAUGUCUCUUGUGAUGGCAACUCCCACGUGCAUGCUUCUAAACGAAAAGGGUGGUUGAAAAAACAAAAAGGCUAGGUGAGAACCAGCGGGCUAGAAUUUGUACUUCUUGCUCAAGUGCAUAGCGGACAACCCCCACUGUCCAAGAAAUAGAUGAAAAAUAUGGACACCAAACGAUAGUUCCAUUAAAAAUAGAUCCAUGGAUGUGAUCUUACCAUGCCCCUCUGACAUUUGCCAUCAUAUAAAAAUGGAUAGGGACUGAUCACCUAUAUGAAAUUCUUGACUUUUUCGUUGUUUAUCCAUACAACGAAUGACAUGAGUAUAAAAAAAAAAAAAAAUCUAAAUACACAAUAUCCUAUCUUGCAUCAUCGAAUAAGAUUUUGCCAUACAUUUUUUUUGGACGUACAACCAUAACCUAAACAUUUGAUUGAAUGCAUGCCAAGCUUAGCAUAUUCUCUAUUCCGGUACUCAACCACGUUCAGAGGAAACAAAAAACUUUGUCUAAUCUUCAAGUCCAACAAAAAAAUAGAUGUAUUAUAUUUAAUUUUUUAUUUUUUUCUUCUGAUCUAACUCAAAAUGAGAUCCCACCAUUAUCCAUGAGAUCAAUAGAAAGACAUAAUUUUUUCUUUAUCAAACAACAAUGAGGAUCGCAAUAUAUAUCCUUCUUUUCAUUUUUUUUAAAGUAAAUUACCCUGACUCCUAUCGAGAUUUGGGAUAAUUAUAUGAUCCCAUCUAAUAUUUCAAAAAUAUACACAUAACCUCCUGAUCAGAUAUAAAAAAUAAAAAAUUAUAAAAUUAUAAAAUAUUUUAAGAUUCAAAUAAAUUAGAUAGUGAUAAUAUUAAUAAAAAUUAUCAAAUAGAUCAAUAGUUUAUUUAACAGAAAAAUAUUCGUAGAGGUACAUGUCAUGUAUAUAACAAAAAUUAAAUAAUAAAAUAUUUAUUUUUAAAAUAUUAGAUAAAAAUCUAUAAUUAUUUCAAAUUUUGAGAAAAAUUAUUGUAAUUUUUUUUUUAAUAAGUCCCAUCGGAAGACUCCUUUACGCCCACAUGCUCCUCAAAGUACAGCACUCUCUACAGACUACUAAGGUUGAGGAAUGGACAUACGUUGCACCCGAGAAUCAUCUGAGUUGCCCUUUAAUAUAUAAGUAAUAUUUUUCCUUUUUUUUCCUUUGAGAAAAUCGUAUGGGAUAUUGAAUCAAAUUUAUAUGAGGAUAUUUUCCUGACCAUAUGCUUGCAUGGAUUCACUUUUGACACUUCUUCUAAUAAUUUCUCCCCACCAGUUUUAUAUCAGAUAUCUCAUACAUCCUUCUCUUCUGGAAGUAUCUAAAACAACCAUUAUUUACAAGAUUUAACUCCAAUCCACUCACAAAUGCGCGAGAAUCAUAUCAAGGUUCAAAUAUCAUCUAAAAAUCAUCAAGUUGGGGAUUUUGAAUGGUUUCCCUAAUUUGCUAAUUUAAUCUGAAAUGCCAAUGGAUACAAAUCAAUCAAUCUAUGGUACAGCUUAAUAAUGUUAUAAUCUUGGUCCUUUGAUAAAUAUAUUUUUUCUUUUUCCAAAAAACAGACCUACUUAAACUAUUAUUAUCCAGGUCCAUGUUUAAAGGAGAUGCAUCUCUUAGGAAUUAACACUAGAACAUAUAUUUGAUAAGCCAAAAACCAUCACCAAAAAAACAAGCUUCAGUUCACCGNNNNNNNNNNNNNNNNNNNNNNNNNNNNNNNNNNNNNNNNNNNNNNNNNNNNNNNNNNNNNNNNNNNNNNNNNNNNNNNNNNNNNNNNNNNNNNNNNNNNNNNNNNNNNNNNNNNNNNNNNNNNNNNNNNNNNNNNNNNNNNNNNNNNNNNNNNNNNNNNNNNNNNNNNNNNNNNNNNNNNNNNNNNNNNNNNNNNNNNNNNNNNNNNNNNNNNNNNNNNNNNNNNNNNNNNNNNNNNNNNNNNNNNNNNNNNNNNNNNNNNNNNNNNNNNNNNNNNNNNNNNNNNNNNNNNNNNNNNNNNNNNNNNNNNNNNNNNNNNNNNNNNNNNNNNNNNNNNNNNNNNNNNNNNNNNNNNNNNNNNNNNNNNNNNNNNNNNNNNNNNNNNNNNNNNNNNNNNNNNNNNNNNNNNNNNNNNNNNNNNNNNNNNNNNNNNNNNNNNNNNNNNNNNNNNNNNNNNNNNNNNNNNNNNNNNNNNNNNNNNNNNNNNNNNNNNNNNNNNNNNNNNNNNNNNNNNNNNNNNNNNNNNNNNNNNNNNNNNNNNNNNNNNNNNNNNNNNNNNNNNNNNNNNNNNNNNNNNNNNNNNNNNNNNNNNNNNNNNNNNNNNNNNNNNNNNNNNNNNNNNNNNNNNNNNNNNNNNNNNNNNNNNNNNNNNNNNNNNNNNNNNNNNNNNNNNNNNNNNNNNNNNNNNNNNNNNNNNNNNNNNNNNNNNNNNNNNNNNNNNNNNNNNNNNNNNNNNNNNNNNNNNNNNNNNNNNNNNNNNNNNNNNNNNNNNNNNNNNNNNNNNNNNNNNNNNNNNNNNNNNNNNNNNNNNNNNNNNNNNNNNNNNNNNNNNNNNNNNNNNNNNNNNNNNNNNNNNNNNNNNNNNNNNNNNNNNNNNNNNNNNNNNNNNNNNNNNNNNNNNNNNNNNNNNNNNNNNNNNNNNNNNNNNNNNNNNNNNNNNNNNNNNNNNNNNNNNNNNNNNNNNNNNNNNNNNNNNNNNNNNNNNNNNNNNNNNNNNNNNNNNNNNNNNNNNNNNNNNNNNNNNNNNNNNNNNNNNNNNNNNNNNNNNNNNNNNNNNNNNNNNNNNNNNNNNNNNNNNNNNNNNNNNNNNNNNNNNNNNNNNNNNNNNNNNNNNNNNNNNNNNNNNNNNNNAUAGAAAAUGAAUAUUAAUCUGAGUAACCCAGCCAAACUUUGAAUCUGAACAAAAGGUGUGUAGUAUGCUGAAGCAGGGAUAAGUGCCUCCAUCUAUAAUAGUAAAGAUUUAGCAUGAUUGUUACCAAAGGUGCUGUUAAAAGUGAAGGGAAUCCAUAGCACGAUUCAAGUUGAACCUUCUUUUUAUAAAAAAAAAUUAACAAUGCAGCAUUAUUUCUUCGACCACGCUAUUGCCAGUCCCAGUUGCCACAUGUGUCAUGACUCAGGAAAAAAAAAAAAUAAAAGAAACAAACCGAUGCAUGGAGACUCUGACCUUCCGCCUUUCUUGCCGUCACUCAGACGUUGGAAGCUCGAAAACCCCCCGCCGCGGUGCCGUCGGAAGCCUAAAACUCUGCCCCACUGGAGAGAUCCCUCAAGCGUGGAAUGUCCGCCGUCGGAGACCAGGAGACUCCCCUCAAGUUAGAUCGUUACCAUCGGAUGGUAGGAUGGGUCCGCAUCCUCUCUAUCGAUGGUGGUACCACCGGUGCCUCUGAUGGCCUUCUCAUUGGUGUUGCCCUCACUUGCCUCAAGGCCUCCCUCUGCAAGCUCUCCGGCGACCCCACUGUCCGAAUUGCCAACUUCUUCGCCCACGGCCCCAACGGGCAAUCGCUUUUCUCCGCCUCGAGGCCUCCUCACCCACUCCUGUCUCAUCACUCCCGCUCGUCGUCUCCUAUCUCGCCGUCUCCGUCUUUGUCUCCAGUGCCGUUCAUCUUCUCGUGUCCGUAGGUAGAUGGCUGGAUGUGGUGUAGAUGGAUGGUAAAGGGAGGAGGCCUGGGGGCCUAAAACAAAUUGGGGCCUAAAGCCCUUGCUUUGGUGGCCUUAUCCUUGAGCCGGCACUGCAGUUCACCUGCAUUGGUAAAUUUUUUGCUUGAAUGUAGUAUUGGUAGCUUCGUGACAUGGCUUAUUACUAAAAGCAUGCUAUCUUUGGAUAACAAGAUCUUAAAAAUACUAGAUUCCACUUUAUAGGUUUGCUUUUUCAUAUGAUUUGUGAUCUCAAAAGGACAAAAUCCCCAAGAAGUUUGCAAGAUUCUUAGAUUUUAAUGGGGCAAUCGAAUCUGCUCCCCCAAUUCAUGAUCAGUUUACCGACUAUAUAUCGACAACUGAUGAUGGACCGUCAAAGCAAAACCGUCGAAGAAGUUCCUAUUCAACCACAACGUCUACAAGUCUCAUCAUCCGACGUUUCAUCAGUGCCAUGGAUACGAAAUGUUGACUAUCAGUCAGUAUGUUGACUAACUAUCAGUAAUCCCCAAUCGACUUUCUUGGUUGCUACAAAACAACCAUAACGACUCAAUCGACUACAUAACUGAUGGUCAGUCGGUAUAUCAGAGUCAACAAUUGAUGGUCAGUCGGUAUAUCAAAAGCACCGAUAUGCAGUCGGUACGUUCAGAUCACCGACACUCAGUCGGUAUAUCAAAAUCGACAGUUAUGAUAUCACAAUCGUGGGAAACUACUCCGUACCACGACUGUUAGUGGGCAUAAACUGCCUACUAACUCCAUGAUAACGGUCCGAUAACAAAAGUUAACUAUCUUUUCAUAUCACAAUAAACGGGACUCCACGUGUUCAACGGUUAUACCUAAAUUACCUAUAUAGGGGGAGGUAAGGGGACAGCAAAGGUACACUAUAAAAAAUCUGAUUUUUAACGAUAAAAAAAUUUUCAUCAUAAAUAAAUAUAUUUUUACGAUGAAAAAAAUUUAUUGUCAAAAAUUAAGUAUUUGUGACGAAAAAAAUUUUCAUCGUAAAAAGUUAAAUCUUUUGCGACGAAAUUAUAAUUUUCGUUGUGAGAAGUAAAUCUUUAACGAUCAAUUUUUUUUUAUCGCUGGAGUUUUUAUUUUUUUACGAUGAAUAAAUUUUUUAUCAUCAAAAAUAAAAUUAUUUACGAUGAAACAAAAUUUUCGUUGCUAAAAAUUAAUUAUUGACGAUGAAAUAAUUUUUGUUGCAAAAAAUAUAGUUUUUAUGAAAAAAAAUUUAUAUUUGAUGAUGAAAAUAUUUCAUCACUAAAUAUUAUUUUGUUGAAAAAAAAAUUUGAAUCUUUUGCGAUGAAAUUUUAAUUUUCAUUGCUAAAAUUAUAUUUUUAAUGACAAAAAUUUUUUCAUUACUAGAGUUUUUAUUUUUUUACAACGAAAUAAAUUUUUCAUUGUCAAAAAAAUAAAAUUAUUUACGAUGAAAUAAAUUUUUUAUUGCUAAAAAUUAGUUAUUUACGAUGAAAAAAUUUUCGUUACAAAAAAUAUAGUUUUUACGAUAAAAUUUUUAUAUUUGGCGAUGAAAUUGUUUCGUCGCUAAAGAUUAUUUUGUUGGAAAAAAAAUUAUUGUUUUAGGGCAAAAUUUUGCCCCAAAAUGCUCGAUCUCCAUCUCGCUGUCCCACACCACCGAGCACACUGCUCCCUCCCCAAUCGAGCUCACCUCCAGCCGUCAUCCUCCCUCUUCGGUCGAGCACGCCACCGACCGAGUGGAAGCCCUCCCCGAUCCAUGUCCUCCCUCCAUGCCACCGCACCGAUCGAAUCGCCAGUCUCUCUCUCACUCUCUCAUGCUACCGCCAUCGACCGUCGUCCUCCCUCCUCAGUCGAGCUUGCCAUCGGCCAUCAUCCUUCCUCUCCGAUCGAGCGCGCCAUCGAUCGAGUUGAAGCCCUCUCUGAUCGGCAUCCUCCCUCCAUGCCACCGCACCAGCCGAAUCGUCUGUCUUUCUCUCACUCUCUCAUGCCGCAGCCAUCGAUCGUCAUCCUCCCUCCCCAGUCGAGCUCGCCGCCGGCCGUCAUCCUCCCUCUCCAAUCGAGCGUGCCAUCGAUCGGAUUGAAGCCCUCCACACCACUGUGUCACCCAAAUCAAGGCCACCAUCGUCGUCCUCCAUCCAUGCCAUCGCGCCAAUCGAAUCAAGGCCACCGUCGUUGUCCUCCCUCUGCCACCGCCGUCGUCUUCCUCCCCGAUUUCUCCCCCUCCCUCCCUCACUUUCUCUCUCUCUCCCCCUCUCUCCCUCUCUUAUGGUUGUUACUUCUCCUAGGGCCGUCGUCGUCGCUCCACCUCCGUCACCGUCACCUCCCCACAGUCACCAUCACCGCCGUCACUGUCCAUCAGGUUGCGAUCUCUCAAGUAUAUACGGCUCUUUGGCUCUCUCUAGCUGUGUCUCUCUAUAGCUCUCUCUCUCUCACACAGUCCACCUGUAGGUCAUCGCACCGCCAUCGCCACGCCACUGUCGCUGUCGCCGUCGCUGCACAGCCGUCGACGUCCGCUUAUCUUGAUACCCAUCUCUCUCUGUGGGAUUUAUAGGAGAGUUGGAAGAUCAUGCCAUAAUUUUUAUUUUUUAAUUUUUAUAAUUUUUUAAAUUUUUAUUCUUCUUUUUUAAUUGAUUUUAGUCGUUAGGUAUGAUUAUUUGUUGCUCUACUCUGAAGCAUAGUUCAUGAUCUGAAAAUAAUUUAAAAAUAAAAAUAGUUAUAAUAAUAAUAUAUUAUUGUAGCAUAACAAAUCUAUAAAUUUAAAAAUUUUUGUUCGAGAAUAGCAUGCAUGAACCAAUAUUUAUCCUUUAAUAAAAAAAAUAUUGAUGUUGUACACACUAUCCUCGAAUUAUCCUUGUGGACAAUUUGAGCACGUGAGUGAAUUUUAUAUUGCAUACCAUGUGCUUCUACAUUGAAGAGUUUUAUCGAUAUUUUCGAUCAUGUUCUCUGGAUAUAUAGCAUAAUUUUAGUAUUUGUGUAUCUGGGCAACUGCGCCGAAAUACUGCUGAAAUUUUUUUGAUAUAGAAAAUAUAUAUUGCAAUAUUAAAAUCUUACGUUCUUGAAUGGGAUAGGACCAUCACCCUAUAGGUAGAGGAUAUAAGGCGUUAGUCAACUAUUAUUACAUAAGAUUGAUUGUAUAGUUUGCAUCAUAAAUGUGUAGGCAUGGAUCGUGGUUGGAUGUCAUUGCGCAAUACGUUCUGUCCUGAGUAUAUUGUGGGUGUGAUAUCUUUCGUGAAUGUGGCAUCCAAUUACACUAGAGAAGAUGAAAAAGCUCAUUGUCCAUGUCGUCAAUAUAUGAAUUUAUUUUGGUGUAUCCUAUCGGACAUUCAAAAUUAUUUAUACGAAUAUAGUAUAGAUGUGACUUACAAGAGAUGGACUUGUCAUGGUGAAGAUUUGCCGACUAGCUCGAGCAUGUUGCCCAAGAGUCCCACAAAUGCAUCGUCAGUAGGUGGAUCAUCCAGUCGUGAAAGGCAAACACUUGGUACAAAAGAUAAAAAAAUUUUGGAGGAUCUCCAUCUGGAGUUAUUUGAAGCAAAUGUGGAAGCGGGAUCAGAACAUCAGCAUCCUAUUCUGAGACAAAAAGCUUAGGAGGACAGUAACAUGCCUGUGAAUGAUAGAUUCGAGUGUCUAUUAAGAGAUACGCGAAGUGACGUUUAUCCUAAUUGUAACAAGUACUCUUUGUUGUCCAUCGUGAUAAAGUUAUUACAUAUGAAGACACUGGGUAAGUGGUCAAACAACUCAUUUAAUUGGUUGCUCAAAUUUUUGAAGGACCUACUGCCUGAGGGAGAGUUACUUCUAUCAAGUUAUUACGAAGCCAAAAAAUUAAUAAAAGGACUCGAGUUGGGAGUCGAUGACUUGGGCCUACACUGGAAAAGAUAUGUGCAUGUCCGAAUGAUUGUAUUCUGUUUUGAAAGGAUAAAAAAAAUCUACAAGCAUGUCCGAUUUGUCAUUCAAGUAGAUGGAAAGAAAGUUGUAGUAAAGAUAAAAAGAAAAAAAAUAUUGUGCAAGGUUUUGCGAUACUUUUUGAUUACGCCACGAUUGCGUCGAUUGUUCAUGUCAAUGUAUACUGCUUGUGACAUGCGAUGCUAUAAGGAGGAAAACAACAUCGACGAUGAUGUCAUGAGGCAUCCAUCAGAUGAAGAUGCAUGAAAAUAUUUCGAUCGUAAACAUCUAUGGUUUCUAGCUGAUUCACGAAAUGUCAGGCUAGGGUUGGCAACAGACGGAUUUAAUCCAUAUGAUAAUAUUAGUACUACAUACAGUAUGUAGCCUGUUAUGGUAUUUUCUUAUAAUUUAUCGUCUUGAAAAUGCAUGAAAUCACCUUGUAAUCUGCUGGCUUUGUUGAUCCCGAGUCUCCUUGCCCAUGGAAGAGACAUAAACAUAUUUUUAGAGCCAUUGAUUGAAGAGUUGCAAUACUUGUGGGAGGAAGGGUGCGAAACGUAUGAUCAUGUUGCAGGAGGUAUAUUUCGCAUACAUGCGACACUACUUUGAACAGUUAACAAUUUUUCUGCAUAUGACGAUAUUUUUGGAUGGUGUACAAAAGGGUGUAAAGCAUGCUCAACUUGUAACGAUGAUAUUACAUCAGACCGUAUUCGUGGAAAGAUUUGUUUCACUUGCCAUCGAUGUUUCUUGUCGGAUGAUCAUAGAUGGAGGAGAAGUCCUAAGUUCAACGACAAGCAUGAACGACGUGCCCAGCCAACAUUCUAAUCUAUGGAUAAUAUUUUAAAUCAAUUGCCCGACCCACGGGAUGUCAUAUUUGUUAAGGAUCUGGCCAACCAAGUAGGCGUGCGAACAAGUAUCGAAAAUUGAAGAAAAAAGAGUAAGUUGUUCGAUCUUUCAUAUUGAAAAAUACUUCUUCUUCGACACAAUCUUGAUGUCAUGCAUAUUGAAAAGAACAUAUUUGAUAAUGUGUUUUAUACCAUCCUCAAUAUCGAAUGAAGAAUGAAGGACACCAUGAAGGCUCGUCUUGACUUGGAGGAUAUGCGGAUUAGAAAAGAAUUACAUUUGAUUCAACGGGAGGACAGAUUGGUGAAGCCAUUGGCAUGUUAUGUACUGAACCAAAGAGAGAAAAAUCAAUUUCUCACAUAUUUGAGAUCAGUAAGGUUUCUCGAUGGAUACGCCUCAAACUUGAAAUGAUGCAUCAAGCUGAAAGAUGGGAAGAUCAUCGGGAUGAAAAGUCAUGAUUGCCAUGUGCUUCUACAACAUGUGCUCCCAGUUGGUUUGCGUGGAUUAUUGCCAGAUAAUGUGUGCGAUGUAUUACUUGAUCUGGAAACUUAUUUUCGGGACUUAUAUGCGAAGAUGUUGAGGCAAGGUCGGAUCAACAUAUUAGAGAAGAAGAUUAUCAUUACUCUCUGUAAGCUUGAGAUGAUAUUCCCUCCUUUGAUAUUCCCUCCUUUGAUAUCAUAAUGCAUCUUUCAGUUCAUCUUCCAUAUGAGGCUAGACUGGGUAGGCCAAUAUAUACAAGAUGGAUGUACCUAAUUGAAAGAUAAUUGUAUGAUAUUAUAAUAUUUAUUAUUUAUUAUUGUAUUCUUUAUUAUAUAUGUAUAUCAAUUGAUAAUUUAUUGGAUAGGAAGAUGCGAGAAUAUAAGAGUGCCAUUGCUAACAAAGCAUGGUCCGAAGGUUCAAUAGCGGAGGCACACGAUAUGAAUGAAUGUCUGACAUUCUGCUCUAUGUACCUUCAAAGAGUGGAGACCAAAUUUAUGAGGCCACAAUGGAAUGUCGAUGUUGACGAUAUUCUGACUGAUGGAUUGUCCGUGUUCUCCAAUAUUGUCGACCAUAUGGUAAGAAAGAUUUUUGAAUGUUGACACCACAUAAAAUGGACGGCAUGCAUUGGUAUGUGCUAAACAAUUACGAGGAGAUGGAAGCGUACAUGAUGUGAGUAUAUAUAUUUAAUUUUUUUUGUUGAUAUAUGCAUGAAUGUAUGUACUCGUAGAUCCUAAAUUAAAAUAUACAUGUUAUUACUGUAUCACUUCAGUGAGCAUGAAAGUGAGCUCAGAAGAAUCAAUCCUACAUUAACAGUGGCACAACAUAGGAAUCAAUUCGCAUCAUGGUUUGACGAACGGAUAAGUUAAGUUAAUAUUCAUCAUGAUUUAAAGGUUUGUUUAUAUAGUAUUUAUUUUGAUAAACUUAAUCUACUUAUUGUUCUUUUAAUUGUAGAUAGUUCAGCUACGUAUAGACAAUCCUAACUGUAUCAGUUAUGACUUAGCCGCACUUGCACGAAAACCUGACAGACGUGUAUCAAUAUAUUCAGCAUGUAUAGUCAAUGGUGUGUGGUUCUUAACGAAAAAUUACAAUCACGAUCAAACCAUACAGAAUUGUAGAAUAAGCAUGGAGGGCGAGUACAAGGAUGAAAUAAUAUAUUUUUUUGGUGUUCUGCAUGAGGUUAUAGAGCUGAGAUAUAGUGAUUUUUGGUGGGUCAUGUUAUUCAAGUAUCGAUGGUAUGAUUUAGGAUGACACAGGCCAAUUAUUAUAGAUCCUCAACUUGUCAGUGUUCAUAUUGAUCACGUGUAGUACGAAAGUGAUCCUUCUAUUUUUGUAAAGCAAGCGAGACUAGUGUGGCAUAUUGAUGAUACCAAAAUGAAAGAGCCUUGGUAAGUUGCAAUAAGAGCUCAGCAUAGAUAUUUGUUCGAUCUUGUAGUUUUUACAUGCCCGAAUGAUGAAGAUCUAGAGAAUGGAGUCCAUGCAACUAUUGAAAAUAAAGCAUAUCAAAUGCAAGCACCAGAUAAUAUAUUAGUGCCAGAUGACAUGGUUGAGAUAGGACAAUUGCAAAGAGACGACUGCGAAUAUAAGGAUGUUCCUAUUGUUGGAACGUCGGUAAGGGCACAGGCACGGGCACGAUCCAACAAUAAUUUGGAGUCACAAUCACAUAUGAAUGAUGACUUCAUCAACGACGAUGAUGAUAGCACUUCAGAGUCGAUGCCUUCUAUAAGUCCUACUGAGGACGACUAUAUGGAUACAAGUUCAGAUUCUGAGAAUAAUAAUUAAUAUGAAUAAGUAAUUCAAUAUAUUUUUUAUUACAUCAUGUAAUACUUGAGUUUUUUUGAUUACGUACUGAUUUGAAUUAUUUUAACCAUUGCAGCAUGAUGGCUGGUCCUGGAGUGGACGUUCGUGGGGUAGACAGUAGGUCCCAGUUGAUAAUAUACAUCCUCACUUUAGUAUUUUGCAUGAUGAGUCAGAAGAUUUAGAUGAGACUCAGCUGUCCGAAUCUAUAGAGCAGACUAGUGCUCAGCCAGUCUACCCAGUCGGAGGUUAUGGCAUCGCAGCAUCAUCCCCCUGUAGGUAUAUCUCUAUCAAUUUAUAAACUAUGUAUAUAUUUUUGUUAUAUACAUCCAUUGGUAGAUGAUAUAUGUUCAUUUCAUGAAUUUUUAUAUACAGAAACAUAGCAGUGACACACAGUGCGUAGUCCUAGUAGGGGCCUCAUUUUGGAGAAAUACGUACAUACGCACAAUGAAAAGCCAAAAGUACAUAUAUUUUGGGAUCAUUCGAUUGGCAAAGAGGCUAGUAUAGUCACAAAUGAGAUUAGUCUGUAUAUACAGAAUCAUUUUUCAUGGACCGUCGAAAGUUUCAAGCAUGUAGCCCCUCGAUACUGCAAUGCCCUAGUCUCUCACAUCAAGGUAAGAAUUAACUUCGAAUAUCUUGCACAUCAUUACAUGAUCCAUAUUAUUUUUUGUUAUAUGGAUAAUUCUUUAUUACAUGAAUAAUUCUAUAUCUUUGCUUUUUGUUAUGAUGAAUGUUCAUAUGUGUAAGAUAAUAUUGACUUCGAGGAUUGCACCGACGAACAAGUGACGGCAUGUAUUCUCAAAAUGGCUACAAAUAGAUACAGAGAUCGACGAUGUAGGCUUCAUAAAUACUGUAAUGAGUUGCAGGUGAAGGAGAUUGACUUUGUGACCCAGCCUUAUAGAAAUUGGGCUGGGUUUAGUGACGAUUGGCGGUGGUUAUGCGAGCAUUUUGAGAAUGAGACAUUUCAGGUAUGUUUAGUGUUUCAAGUUAUUUUGAUAUUGUUAUGUCCUUUAUUGGUUAUAAUUGUAUGUAUUUUUUAGCAACGAUCGGAGAUGAAUAAGAUGAAUAGGAGCAAGAUUGAUUCUAUUCACACGCAAGAAAGUGCCUCUUUUGCACAGAAAUGAAAAGGAUGGUACAUAACUAUACUUACAAUUACACUCUGUAAGUUCUUAUUGAAUAUUUAAGUUACUUUGAUGUCCUUUUUCUUCUUUUCUUUUGUUUGAAUAGGGACUAUCCAGUGUCGACGCCUAUGAUAAAUUCUAUCAAAAUAAGAGUGACAAGUUUGUGACCAAGGAGGUGAGGCAGCGUCAUGUAAGUAUGGUACUAUAUUUUGAAUUUAUUUUAAAGGCUUUAAAAUAAAUUUAUGGUGUUAUUUGAUCUAUUGUGAAGAAAAAAUGUUACAAUUGAGAGAACAGAUGAUGAAGGAGGUUGGAUCUGACAGCGAUGCUGGAUCGCAGUCAAUUUGUUCGAUGACAGAUGAUGCGAUCCUGGAUGCCGUCUUCGGGCGGCAGCUAGGAUCUGAGCAUAGCAUGUGAUCAAAAAAAUCUCAUAGUUUGUCGUCCGGCUGGUCUGAUGAUGCCUCAAUGCCAGAGGCAGUUAGGACAUCGAUGAGCAUGAUGCAGGAUCAAAUUACUUACCGGAUGAAUCAUAGUCAGAUGCUCGAGAAGAUAGUGAUUGCGAUGGUGGGACAACUCGGUAUCGAUGCUUCCGAGUUACCACCUCUACAGCCGCUGAUGCUGUCUCUGCACAGCCAUCGCGACACACAUCGGGUCAGGGAUCGAUGCCCGAAGAAGAGAACGAGGCCAAUAACUCUGAUAAUACAUAGUUUGUAAUUUUUUUAAAUUUUAAAUGAUGUAUGAAUCAUACUUUUGUAUAUGAUAAUGAUGCUACGAAACUUAUUGCUAUUUGCAAUUUGAAUGUUUUUAUUGUGUUCAUAUAUUUUUAUGUAAAAUAUGUUUGAUCUGAUGAAAAUUUACAUUUAAAUAGGUACUUUUAUGAUAAAAAAAUAAAAAAUAUUUUAUUUAUCUAUAAUUUAAUUUAAUGAUGAAAUAUUAAUUUAUCAUAAUAAAUAAUUAAAAAUUUUNNNNNNNNNNNNNNNNNNNNNNNNNNNNNNNNNNNNNNNNNNNNNNNNNNNNNNNNNNNNNNNNNNNNNNNNNNNNNNNNNNNNNNNNNNNNNNNNNNNNNNNNNNNNNNNNNNNNNNNNNNNNNNNNNNNNNNNNNNNNNNNNNNNNNNNNNNNNNNNNNNNNNNNNNNNNNNNNNNNNNNNNNNNNNNNNNNNNNNNNNNNNNNNNNNNAUUGCUAUUUGCAAUUUGAAUGUUUUUAUUGUGUUCAUAUAUUUUUAUGUAAAAUAUGUUUGAUCUGAUGAAAAUUUACAUUUAAAUAGGUACUUUUAUGAUAAAAAAAUAAAAAAAUAUUUUAUUUAUCUAUAAUUUAAUUUAAUGAUGAAAUAUUAAUUUUAUCAUAAUAAAUAAUUAAAAAAUUUUGACGAUCCUAAAAUAUUCAAAUUUUCACUAUAUAUUAUGAUGAAAUUUUUUAUUUCAUCACUAAAAUUACGAUGAAAGAAUUUUCUUCGUUAAAAAUAAUUUUUUCUAUCAUAAAUUUUAUUUUUUUUCUUUAUUCCUUUUUUAGUUAUGAAAUUUUUUUUUCAUCAUAAAAAUUAUGAUGAAAUUUUUUUUCAUCACAAAAAUUAUGAUAAUUUUUUUUUCAUCAUAAAAAUUAUGAAAUUUUUUUUUAUUUCAUCAUAAAUUUAGCGACGAAAUUUAACAUUUCAUCGCUAAAUUAGCGAUGAAAUUUUUUUUCAUCAUUAAUUUUUGUGACAAAAUACUAUUUUUCAUCGUUAAAAUUAAAAUAAUAAUAAUAAAAACUUCAAAUGAGUAAUAUUUAUUUUUUACGAUCAAAAUAUUUUUUAUCAUAAUUUUAACGAUGAAAGUUUAAGCUCUUGCGAUAAAAAUAUUUCAUCGCUAAUUCUACGAACUUUUUCAUCGUCCGAUUGACUACUUUUGACGAUGAAAUAAAAUUUUUUCAUCGCUAAGAUCUUUUACUAUGAGGCUUUCUCUACAAACUUUUAGAGACAAAAAUUUUUAUCGCUAAUAGUUUUAGCAACGAAAAUUUUAUCUUUAGCGGCAAAAAAAUUUCAUCACAAAAAAUCAGAUUUUUUGUAGUGGUAGGACAUACUGAGUUGAUACUCUGUCAAAGUCUACAUUCAACUAUCCUAUUGACCACUUCCCACUGACUUAGGCAUCGAAGGAUCCCCACCGGAUACUGCUCUGAUCAGUGUGGACUUGUUUUGUAGGUUGCUCACCAUCUGACUCAAGCAUACUCGGAGAUUGGCUGCAAUAGAUUGACGCAUCAGGUAUGGAUUGAAAGAUCUAAUUACAAUAGUAAAAAUGAGAGCCCAGAAUGCUUCUAUCGGCUCCGCCCGACAAUCUUCCCAUCGAAAAGAUCUUCCACCUCCACCUCCAUUGGCAAAGCCCUGUUCUUCAUAUCCGAUUGUCACUACGGAUGUCCAACAACUCGCUGCUUUAAUGCAGCAGAUGAAAAUAUUGAUGGAGGCAGUGCAUAACCUCCAGCAAUAGCAAAUAUAGUAACUGCAGCAGUAACCGAUGGCAGAGGAGCCGGCAUCGCGUACAGUGCUAUCUGAGUACAGUCACUGCAUCCCACGAUAGUCUCCUUCUCUAUCUCUGAAAUGACGAUCGGCUCGACACUCUCAUCAUAUCGAGCCAUCACCUUCUCGGCACUCCUACCAUGCCUCUCAUCAUCAGCAACAAUCUCCUUCUCCUUCUCGCAGCCACAGUAUCAAGAAGGGGAAGAGGCCGUGCUCACCUUCAACUUCUCCCUCCUCAAGUUCUUCAAAAGUGGAGCCGGUUUUAUCCUCACCAACUCUGAAGGGACAGUGACUAAAUAUGCCCUUCGAUUCAACUUCAAAGCUUCGAAUAACCAAGUCAAAUGUGAAGUCUUGCUAGCCAACUUGAAGAUGGCAAAGAAACUUGGUGUGGACAACUUGAAGGUCUUCACCGACUUUCAACUGAUCAUUGGUCAGGUUAAAGGUGAAUUUGAGGCUCAAGAUCCGACCAUGAUGAAGUACCUUCAAAAGAUGAGAGAUCUUGUUAUCUCGUUCAAACCUUCAAAUAUUUCGAGAUCUCUCACAUUUCAAGAACAGAAAAUGCACAUGCUGACACACUAUCUCGAUUGAUAACUACUCCUAAUCUACUCGACUGAACGUUCAUCGAAUAUCUCGAACAAUCGAGCAUUGACAAGGUCGAUGAAGUGCAAUAAAUAGUGAUUACCAAACCGGAUGGACCCAAUCAUCCUCUAUUUGACCAACAAGAUUCUAUCCAAGGAUUCAUUAGAAGCCAAACGAUGGUGGACGGCUUCACAGUAUAUUCUGAUGAAUGGAUAACUAUACAAAAGAUCAUUCUUUUUUUUACUGCUAAAGUGCUUGAGACCUACCGAAGCUAAUUAUGCUCUCCAAAAAGUCUAUAAGAAAUUUGUAGAAAACACUGGGGGGUAAAUUGCUAGCCUACAAGAGUCUAUGAUAGGGAUACUACUGGCCCACCAUGAGAAAAGAUGCAGUCGAAUUUAUUUCGAGAUGCGAAGUAUGUCAAAAGUAUGCCAACAUACAGUAUCAAUCGACCAGCUAGUUGACAUCAAUCAUUACUCUAUGGCCAUUCACACAAUGAAGAAUCGACAUACUCAGUUCCUUCCCUCCGACGAUUGGUCAGAGAAAGUUCUUAGUCAUUACAGUGGACUAUUUCACUAAGUGGAUGAAAACUGAACCCUUGGCACAAAUUAUCGAAGGAAAGAUGGAAGACUUCAUUCAGAAGUCCAUCAUAUAUCAGUUUGAAUUAUCACGCAUCAUCAUCACCGAUAAUGAUCGAUAAUUUGACAAUCAAAAAUUCAAAAAAGUUAUGUGCAAAACUUCAUAUCAUGUACAAACUCAUCUCUGUCAACUAUCCAUAAUCAAACGGUGAAGUAAAAAUGACAAAUCGAAUAAUUUUAUAUGGUCUCAAGAUCCGACUGAAUAAAGCCAAAGGUCUAUAGAUAGAAGAGCUAUAUCCGAUCUUAUGGGCUUAUCGGAUGACUCCUCGCAUCCCGACAGGAGAGUUAUCAUUCAAUCUGACAUAUGGAAUAGAAGCGACGAUCCCAUUAGAGAUCGGACUACCAUCAAUAAAGGUCAAACAAUAUGCAGAGCCAAGUAAUUCCAACUGUCGAAGGAUCGAAUUGGACUUACUAUCAGAGGUUCGACAGCAAGCUCAUAUAAGAAUGGCUGUAUACUUACAAAGGAUGGCCCGAUAUUAUAAUGCAAGGAUCAAGCCAAAGGUCUUCCAUCCCGGAGACUUGGUCUUAAGAAAGACAGAAGUUUUAAAACUCUUGGAUCAAGAAAAAUUAUCUUCAAACUGGGAAAGACCUUAUAGGGUGAUCAAAACCCUUCGCUCGGGUUCAUAUCGACUAGAGACCCACGACAAAAUGACUGUCCUUCGGAUAUGAAAUGUCAAUAAUCUUUGAAUGUACUAUCAAUGAAGCUGUCUGCAUGUAAUAGUAUAUUCAAAAUGACAUGAUCAACUUUCUACUUUCAAUCGAAUAUUCGAGUAUCUAUAAAUGUGGUGUCUGACUGAUGACCAAUCGACCAAUAUACUUAUCGACCUAAUUUUGAUCGAAUGACUCUACAUAUUGACACCAAACAGAUGACUGCAUAUGCCAACUCAACUAUGGUUGAGAGGAAUGAUACAUCGACUCAACUACGAUUGAGUGGAAUAGUUUGCUGACUCAACUAUGGUUGAGCGGAAUAAUAAGCUGACUCGACUCCGAUCGAGCGAAAGAUAUACCGACUCGACUCUGAUUGGUCGAAAGAUAUUUGGCUAGCCCUCAUAUAUCAAAUACUUAAAAAAAUUUAUGCUUAAAAUUUAGUCAACUGGUAUCUGACUAACAGAAAAAUUCUAUGACUUCGACUAUCGAUUGUUAUUCAUCUACCAAUUGAUAGUCGAUUACAUAUAGCAACAAUUAUCUACGAUAAAUGACAUAUCCAAAAAGAUUCAACACUUGUGAAAAAGGUUCUUUCAUUUAUCAAUAGAGGAUUACAAAAAUUGGACUAAGGUCUGGUUACAAAAAUAAAAGUCAGAAUAAAGUUCGGUACAAAAAAAAAGGUGAAGACCUAUCUACACCGACUGCUGCUUGGUCUCCUCAGCUGCUGCUUCGAUCUCUUGGACCACGACUGAUGUCGGAUCUAUUUCGAUCGAUGCAGGUUCAACUUCUUUCGUCAGAGUAGUCACUUCAUCGGUCGGCUCUACUUUUGUCGCUCUCUCUUUAGGGGUCAGGACAGUGAUGCUGCUCAAAUCCAAAUCUAGAUAAAGUUUUCUAACUGAGAGCUUUUUGGGCAGUCUUUGCCUCUUCUUUGACGGAAACUGACUCUGCAUUGGCUAGUGCCAACCAUGCUUCUAUGGCUCGAUGCCUCUCCCGUUCACCCUUCAGUUCCUUGAGGCAAUUGUCACAUUCCCUCUGGAGUUGACUAAUCACGUGCUUCUUGCUCUAGAUCCGGGCCUCUUGAGACUUGGCAGAUUGCUGAGCCGACCCUAAUUCGACUCGAGCCAACUCUAACUUAGCUUUCAUGCAGGAAAUCUCUUCCUGAUACUUUCUUUUCUGCUUAGUUGCCGCUUGAAGGUGCUCUACAGUGGUGACUUUGCCGGCGUUUGCAGCUGUGACUUUCUGACGGAGAUCUGCGAUCCCCUGAUAUCCUCUGUCCAAUGCCGACAUGUCGUGCGCCAGCUGAAAGGAAGAGAGAAUGGUUAGAAAAAGUAGGUAGAAGAGGCACAAAUGGAAAAUAGAUUACCAACUUAUGCUGAGGAUUGUCAGAUAAAAUGAUGAGAAUAUGUCGGCUACGGUUCAACUCUUCCUAUUCUCCCGAUCAGUCGAGAGAAGCGCAGCCUCCACAAGCUACUUUACCAAUUUCGGGAUUAACAGAGCUGACUCACUUGACGGCACCCGAAUAUCACAGUACUCCAUCCAGUCUUCCAGAGCCUCACUACUAGUUGAAGCUUCUGGUGCCUUCCCUCGCUCCCGAGCAGACGAUUGAUCAAUUAGAGCUGCCAUCCAUUUGGAUGUAGGAGGCGCCCGAGAUACUAUCGGCCCAACGUUGACCGACUCUGGCCCGAGCGUAGGAGGUGCUCGAGAUACUAUCGGCCCCUCACUGGCCGGCUCUGGAUCGACGACCACAAUGGCAUCAUGAUCGCUUGGUUGCCUAAUCGACGGAAGAACUCCGACUGGUGGUAGGGCCAUUAGAGCUGAUAGUGCAGUGACUACUUCUAUAUGGGCCUCAGAAGCAACUACCAAUGGUGCUUCGAUACGAGCCACAGAGACUACUACCGAUGGUAUGUCAGGCUGACUCUUCUUUGGAGCUUUAGAUGGCCCUACACCAGUAGUGGGCCUCUUCUUGAUGAUGGCAAACUGUCAGAUCUCAUCUGCCGAAGGUCAUGCUGAAGGUCGUAUAGCUGCAAUCAGAUAAAAAAAACUACACUAUGCUAUACUUACAGCAAGCGCCUAACUAAGUCCAACAUCGUAUAAAGCCCGCUCCAUCAACAGCUCCUAUUGCAGAGGGACUUCCAUGUCUUUCAAAUAUAGAAAGUCUUCUCGAUCAACAACAUCGACUUGGCUGUGAUCAUUCUGGCUCAUUCUUGGUGCACCCCAAGAAGUCCAAAAACCCCAAGGCAAAGAAGAAGAGAUAAAAAAAAAAUUAAUUCUUCUAUCCAUGGAUGGAAGAAAGAAGAUCGGAGAUAAAAGACAGAUCCUUCCUCAGAUUGAUGAACCACCAACCCUUGGCCUUAGGGUGAGUGUGAAGAACGAUGAAAAUAUGAAAGAGAAAGGGCUUGGGAUUGAUCGGAAUCAUGUGGCACAAUAAAGCAAAGCUGAUAAUGAGUCGAAUAAAGUUUAGAGCCAGUUAGGCAGGACAGAUCUUAUAAUAAUCAAGAAGAUUCUGAACAAACUCCAGAAUUGGAAAGUGAAGACCGGUUCGAAGGUCCUCGACAUAAAUCGCUACCUGAUCUAGAAAAGGAGAAUUCAUCCGACUAUCUGGACCUAAUGUAAAAAGCUGAAAUUGCUCUCGGAUGCGAUAUUGCUUCUAGAGCCAAAGAACAUUAGAUUUGGACAAGAAAGAAGCUUCCACGUCCGAAUCUGAAGGGGAAUCAUCAACCGAUUUACCCGAUCAAUUAUCCCGAGAGGGUUCCAACAAAGAAGAAAAAUUCAACAAACAAGAAGGAACUCGAUAAAGGAGGAGGUAACGGCAAAGAAACAAUGAAGGAAAGAAAAGAGGAAGGCCAACCUGAAGCAAAAGCUUGAUGAUGCGAAAAAGAAGAAGAAGAUAACCCUAAGCCCCUGGAACUCUCGACACCCAUAGGAGAACUCUUAGUGGCAGAAGGAUUGUAAGCAAAUUGCAAUAGGAGAUCCAAAUGGAGAAAAAUGACCUUAUAUAUAUAAGAUCCAUCGACAGUCGAGAUGAGUUUGUUUAAAUCCAGACUUUCUCAGAUCAUGACACAUGGCAACAUCCGAACCAAUCAUUGUUCGGACCUUUCGAUGCACUUACUGUCUGAUCGAAACACAUCAAUACUAUUCACAUAGGGCGUCAAGAGCCAAUCAUUAUUGAAUGCAUGGCGACAAUCGAUUGGUUAAAUUCAAAUCAAUCGAAUUAUCCGACCGCCUAGCCGACUAUAACAUUAAGAACUAUCUCUUUGACUAGACAUGCUAAUGAUGAUCGCAGAACCAUCGAAACAACAAAAUGACUGGAGAUCUUUCAAUUUUUGAGAGAACCAUUACUGCCUGCAGUUGAAAAGACUGCAGAAUCGGGACUCGAUAUGAUACGUGAUAACUCCCAUCAUCCGAUGUGUCAAGCCAUGUUAGACUUGGGAGUGGAGGGCAACUGUUGGGGCAAUCGAAUCUACUCCCUCGAUUCAUAGUCGGUCUAUCAAUUAUGUGUCAGCAACUGAUGAUGGACCGUCAAAGCUGGACUGUCGAAGGAGUUUCAGUUCAACCACACAUCUACAAGUCUCAUCAUUCGAUGUUUUAUUGGUGCCAUGGACACAGAUUGCUGACUAUCAGUUGGUUCACCAACUAACUAUCGGUAACCCCCAAUCGACUUCCUUGGCUGCUACAAAACAAUCAUAGUGAUUCCAUCGACCACAUAAUCGAUAGUCAAUCAGUAUAUCAGAGUCAACAACCGAUGGUCAGUCGGCAUAUCAAAAGCACCGACAUAUAGUCUAGAUUAUCGAUACUCAGUCAGUAUAUCAGAACUGACAAUUAUGAUACCACAAUCGUAGGAAAUUACUCCACACCAUGACUGUUAGUGGACAUAAACUACCCACUAAAUCCAUGAUAACGGCCCGAUAAUAGGGGUUAACUACUCUUUCAUACCAUAAUAAGUGGGACUCCAUAUGUUCGACAGUUACACCCAAAUUACCUAUAUAAGGGGAAAGUAAGAGAACAGCAAGGAUAAGACAUACUGGGCUGAUACUUUAUCAAAGUCUACUUUCAACUAUCUUGUUGACCACUCCCUACUGACUUAGGCAUCGGAGGAUCUCCGUCGGAUACUGUUCCGAUCAGUGUGGACUUGUUUUGUAAGUCACUUGUCAUCGGACUUAAGCAUACUCGGGGAUUGGCCACAAUAGAUUUCACUAAUUUUAGUCGAUUUUUGCAUCCUGAUGGAAGAUUAAUUAUUAGAUUUUGAAGGAAACUUAUAAAACAACUGGCCACUUACUACUUUUAUAUACUAGGGUUGAGAUUAUACAAUGUAUGUGAAUAGUAGAUUGGAUGGUUAUGGCAUCCCUAUGACAUAAGAUUUUCAUAGUCGAUUGUUGAUUUAUUAGCAAUUUUAGGGAUGCGGCAUCUCCUGUUUGACUCAUGAAAAGGGCAAUGUUGGAAGAGAGCUCAAGUAACUAGCCAACCGAGAUAUAUGUUCAUAAGAACUCAUUCAAUAAAGACACAUGCAUAUAAGAGGUGAGCAAAGAUACUAUAAACUUGUUUGGUUGACGGAAAGUGGAGGGAGGAAGAGGCACUUCUUAAAAAGUAGAGAGAGGACCUCUUAUUUGAUUGAAAUUUUAAGAAGAGAGGGAGUGAAAAAAGUUCUUCCCAUAGGAAGUCAUUUUUCACAUUUCAUGUGAAGUGACAACCCAUGGGAGAGAUGGGUUUUGGCACUUCUAAUGGGAUUGGAAGUGAUGCUACUUUUUUUCUCAAAAUAUCCCUUUAGAUUCAUGACUAAGAUUUUACAAAAUAUCAAUGAAUGGUUAGGAUAAAAUAUUGAAUAGUGAUAUAAUAUUANNNNNNNNNNNNNNNNNNNNUUUUAAUAUUAUAUUAAUAUAUAUUAAUAUUAUAUUAACAUAAUAAAUUAUUAUAGUUUAAUAUUAUAUUAUAAUAUAUUUAUAUUAUAUUUAUAUUAAUAUAAAUAUAAUAUUUAUAUUUAUAUAAAGUUUAUAAGCAAAAAAAAGAUAUGAUCUUAUAUCUAUGAAAGAUAUAAUAAAUAUUUUACACAGUUUUUUCAGAAAAAUAGGCACUCAACCAAACAUAAGCUACUCUGUAAUAAGUUAUUUUUCCAUGAUCAAUCAAAUAUAUCAAAAUCCUAUUCUCAAAAAAUAAUUUUUCAAAAAGUAGCUUUCUGAGAAGUUAUUUCUUGAGAAGAAAAAUUUUUCCUGCGAACCAAACAAGUCCUACAAUUUUUUCAAAAAAUAAAGGAGAUAAGCAUAGGAAUGAUAAUUUUAGCCGAUCCCUCCGGAUAUCCAACCCAACCCAACUUCAAUAGAUUGAGUUUUAUCUGAUCCAAUUAGAAUCAGGAUGGAUAUAGGUUGUAGAAAAAAUUUUUGAAGCGGAUUCGGAUCAGAUACAAAUAAUGGUAUACUUCGCACCAAAUCUAAACCAAUAUAAUCUUAAUCUAUAUCUUUCUUUCAAAAUUAUAAUUAUCUUAUAAUAUUUAUGUAUACUCGAUCCAAUUCAAUCCAAUCCACAUCUCUACUUGACUCGAUCCGAUUCGAGAUAGAUAUGGGACAAAUAUGAAUAUGAGAUUUUUAAUUACAAGACAAGUAUGGAUUUUGAUCGAUCCCACCACUAACACGUUGCCAUCACCUGAUAAGAAUAAGAUUUUACAAAUAUGGUAAUAAUCCAUCCUAAAAUACCAUAAAUUUGAAAUGAUUAAACCCAGCCAAAUAUGCAACUUCAUCAAUCCGUUUUGAAAUUUUUUCUGUAAAAAAAAUACUAUUCAUAAACUCCUAAUCUUCUAUCUGUUAACAAACACAUACACUAAUUUUACAAAAUUUAUCUACGUAGCCAUCGCUUCCUAACGCACAUUUAAUAUUUAUAAUUUUAUUUUUUUAUUUAAAAAUUUUGAAUGACAAAAUACUUCUAUUCUUUAAAAAAAUUAUGAUAUCUUAUAUCCAUAUUAUAACAUCUUGCGUACAGAAAGUCAUAAUUUUGACGCAGGAUGUCAUAAUAUGUCAUAGAAUAUUAUAAUUUUUUUUAAAGAAUACAGAUAAUUCGUCAUUUAAAAUUUUUAAAUAAAAAAAUAGAACUGCAUGUACUAAAUGCACGUUGGAAAGUGGUUGGACAAAAAUGUCUCUUCUAUAUUAUGACAUCUUGGUUCAUAUUAUGAUAUCUUGGAUCAUAUUAUGACAUCUUAUAUAUAUAAAAUUAUAAUUUGACGUAGGAUGUGAUAAUGUGUCACAGGAUGUCAUAAUUUUCUGAAUUAUAUUAUGACAUUCUGUAUGUAGGAAGUCAUAAUAUGUCACGGGAUGUUAUAAUUUUUUAAAAAUAUAAAUAUUUUAUCAUACNNNNNNNNNNNNNNNNNNNNAAUAUUAAAUAUAUAUUAAAAAAUAAAAAAAAUAUAAAUCAAUUAUAUAAAAAAAUAUACUUUGCAUCAAAUUUUCCGCACUGCCGAUGCGGUGCAAAAAAGAAUUUCUCAUUGAAACAUUAUCACUCUAGACCCGCUUAGCUAGCUGAACCGACCCAACCAGUUUCAAAUAAAUAAACAGGUUAUUAAACCAGUUCAAAGGGGACCGGAUCCGACUACCAUCUUUAUCGAAUCGGACGUGGAGACCCACCGUACCAAACCCUCGGCAGCUCGAAAAGAGGACAAACCCCAGGGGAGAGAGACGUUUGAGACGAGAAAACCCAAACCCUAAAAGGACGACCUUUUGCUCGAAGAGAAAGAGAAGAAAGAGGGAGGACAUCUCCAAAAGUUAGACAAAUUGCCCCCAUAUCCUUCUCCAAUCAACCCCCCAAAUCUUCCGACUAGCUCCCGAUCCCGCUUCUUUCUCUCGAUUUCGAAGCCUCAUCACGCUAAUCUCGAAUUCCGAAACGCUAAUCGUCCUUCUGGGGUUUUUUAGGGUCUCCCGAGGUCCGGAUCCACGGCUCCUGCCAAUGCCGUGGUGGCCAUGACGACGGAGGUGGUGGCAACGACGCUAAGGCUGGAUCCACCACCGCCGCCCCGCCCCGCUGGAUGCGGCGGCGACGGCUGCGACGCUCGGGACCCCUGGCCGCUCCACCAUGUCCGCCAUCGCACCGUCUUCUGCCGCCUCUGCACCUCCUGCGUCCUCAAGUAUCACUCUGGAUCCUUCUGCGUCGCCUGCUUCGAGCUCCUCGACGCCCUUCCACUGCCGCCGCCGGCAGCGCUGCCCUCCCUUGUACGCUGCUCCAGGUGCCCGUCCAUCGCACACUCUGCCUGCCUCCAAGAAGCCGAGCGCGGAUCCACCUACCUUUGUCCUAGCUGCUCCAACCCCGAGAGCUUUUCUUACUUUCGCGUUAGCAAGGAUGGACAGCAGCGAUCGUUUGAUCUCACGUCGGCGAAGGUGCUCCUCGCCGCCACCCGGCUGUCGGUGGCCUCCAUGAGCAGGGCGGCGGCGGCUGCGAGGGCCGAAGCGGAGAGGAAGGUCAGGGAGGCGGCACUGGCGAGGAAGAGAGCGAGGGAGAUGCUGGAGAGGGUCUUUACGCUCUCGAAGAUGGAGAAGGAGAAGAAGAAGAAGGAAGCUAAUGAGGCCGUGGUGGUUCCCGUGCCGGAGGUGGCGGAGACAAAGAAGAAGAUGCCAAAGCUGAGCAGCACGGUGGCCGCCGUGGUGGGGCAGAAGAGUGUGCAGAACAGGGAUACUGAUAGGUGGAUGAAGUUCCAGGAGCCGGUGGCAACGGCACUGAAGCCAGUUCAAGGUCUUGUAGAUGAUAAAAGCAAGGUGACUUCUUUAACUGGGAUGCAUAACCAUGCUAAUAAUGGUGACAUGAAGGGCAAUUUAGGGAGCCUGUCUCGUUCUGGAAAUAAUGUUGGCCAAAGGGAGAGCAAGGAAAGGGGAGUUCUUUCAGGUACUCAGGGUGCCUUUGUUAAGGAGGAGGAUGGUGUUGUGGGUAGAUGCUGAUAGUGGUCCUAGGUUCCCUCAACCAACUCAAGGUGAAGAUUUUGGCAUCUUAUAUUGCACUAUUUUGUGCUUCAAAUAUUAGUAUCUUGUGAAUGCUAAGAAAUAGUGUGAUAAUUAUUUCAUUUUUGGUUUACUGGUUCACUAUUAUUGGGGGAAAAUGUGUUCUUCUCCUUUACAAAGCUCUUGUUUUUGGUGUAUUUUGCAAAUAUGAGAAGUCAUAUAAAGUUUCUCUACUUCGAGUCAAUUUUUUUUUUUUUUUUUUAAUUGAUUCUCUGAGAGAUUGUUUAUUUUUUAAUUCUUUACACCUGUUGCAGAUGUAUCAAUCUUUGGGACCAGCUUCAGAGAUAUCUUCAUGGGUUUGCUGAACAAGGUGACUCAGCAUUCAUGAGUUGGUUUUGUGGGUCGUUGUAUGUUUUGAUUUCAGUCCUUGAUGGAUGCCUGCAAUCGUUUGGAGAUUGUUCAGAGCAUUUUGUAUGUACUCCAACUUUUUCUUUUUCGUACUAAAGUGCCAAAAUUGGAUCCAAUUGUAUCUUUCAAUUGAACUAGAGUUUCCUAACUCUGCUGUCAUUUGUCAUUAGUUAAUGCUUUGAACUUCAAAAUAUAAUUCUUUGGUUUGGUACUUCGUUAAAAUCAUUUUCCUUUUUCAUGCCUUAUUUUCUUUUUUCAUUCUAGAGCAUGGAUUUAGUAUCAUGAAUUCUAAAACAAAUGGACUCAUUUUACUGUUACUUCUGUGACUCUCCCCAUGCCCUAUUUUCUUUGUACUUGAUGGUCGCAUCUACAAAACUCUUCUGGUGCAGUAAUGCAGGAGGAUUUAUGUACAUAGCUGGAAGUGAUUUAUUCUCUUAGGAUUAUCAUUUUUUCUUUUCUAUUUUCUAUAUAUUGUGAUGCACUGCUGAAAUUAACUAGAGCAUUGUUCCUAAGGAAAACAUCAGUUUUAUAAUUAUAUCUGUCCGAUCUUUAUGUCAGUUUAUAAUGUUUUGGGAAUCAUAUUGGUUUCUAUGAUUGAUAACUAGUAUUCUCUAACAUCUGCCAAUAUUUUGUUAGGCAUCUCUAACUCUAUAAUGUUAGGAAUUAGGGCACCCAUUUUAUUGUCAGAGAUGGUUGAUGAAUGCUUUUACUCGUUGGAAUGCAUCCCACUGUAUCUGUAUGGGUCUUAUUUUGUUUUAAUAUAGGUAUGUACCAUGUUUGCCGACCCAAACUAGUUGAUUAAUGUUUAGUUAUGUACCAUGUACCUGCUAUAUAGGCUUGUAGCAUAGAUUAAUAUACAGCUUGAACAUGAGAUUUAUUCUGAUUCUUUAUCUUUAAUGUCAAACACUAAGAAUAAUCUGGAAGAGGGAACCUUAGUAGUAGAAGUCUUCAUGUAGGAUACCACACCUGCUUCUUGAUAUCCUUUGGAAACUCGUCCCUCCUCCUGCUUGCUUAUCAUUUUUUUAAAGACCUGCUUCCCCACACCUGAACCUGAAUCUGCUUCCACACCUGCACUUUUGGUAAAUAAGGAGGGAAUUGAAUCCUAACAUUUUGACCUCUUUCCCUUGGCUUCACUCAUAAGAGUGGUCAAGGGCAUUCCUAGGCACUUAACGCAAGAUUUGUUGCCUAGGUGGCCCACCUAGUUUGCUUAGUUAUGUAUUAAGUGAUUUGAUAUGAGUAUAUUACUAUUGACUUAAAGACCUAGUUUUUACCCAAUAUCAUCACCAUUACGAGGUUGGCUAUAAAGCAGAACUAUAAGUUGAAUAGGUUCUGCAUAGAAAUACUAGGCAGAUCCUAUGAUUGACUGUCAAUUUGAUGCCCAACCUCUAGAAAUUGGUGCUAAGUUCCUAACAAGGGCAAGAUUAGACGAGAAAGGGACUUUUCAUAUUCAAACCUAUAAGACCAGAUGGUAGGGAAGGAGAUUUACCUGUUUGUUCACAAUUAAAUCUCAUGCCACCAAGGAACAACCAUCUGAUAUUCGCCUAAACUUGAGCAUCUGCAAAACAGGGAAGAGCGAUGAAUCUUGAUACAAAAAGGGGAUAUUUAGGAUGUCUUUGAUUAGAUUAUCAACAAAAGAAAGAGGGUGGUGCUGACGGCAUUUUUUGUGUGUGUGCACGCGCAAGCGGCGCAGGUGAUGCAAAGACCUGAGCAUUUUUUUUAAGACGUGGAAGGAAAAGUUCAGAUUGAAGAUUAUUUUUCACAUUUCUGAGACACUCUUAUCAGAAGUCAGUGUUGCAACUUGCAAGAGGUUCAAUGGCAUUUGAAUAUGUAUUUCUGUUUCCAUAUGCAGAUUUUGUGAUUUUUCUUUAAUGUAAUUAACAUGUAAUUGGGCUUGUAGAUCAUGGUGCAGUAGUUCUCAUGGAAUAAAAUAGCAAUGCAGUAGGUUGUAUAAUCUCUGAAGACAGAAUUUAAUUGCAGCUUAAAUUUCCCAUUUGCUCAACUGAACAUCAGAUCUUCAAAUCCAUCAUUUUGACAUAGCAUGAAGCACUAUACAUAAUGUCCAUGAUUAGAUACUAUAUAUUUAGAACUUUUGGUAAGAUUUAAUAGGUGAUUGAUUCAUUCACCAGGCUGGUUUUUCUUCGAUCUUAAUGGAAGUGCGUGGAAGCACUUGGGGCACAUCUGCUCGUGUGGCAUCUCUUCUCCAAUGACGAGUCUAUCGCUUGCUGUUCGUUUUGUGCACACAGCGUUUAACGUUUUCAUCUUAUCUGGGAAGAUAUUCCAAUAUAUAUUUUGUACAGCAGGAGUUGAAUCGUGGAGUAACCUGUUAUUUGUUUCAAUGUGGCAAAUGUUAUCAUAGUGAUAACGUUAGCUGGACACUGCAAGCCGCAUGUGACCCUCUUGACGCUUCGAGCUGCUUUUCUGCUGGAAGCUCGAAUGAAUUAGAGAAAGAGGCAAAUACAGAGGAUCGGGAGAAAUCCAAGUAGUGCAAUGCGAAGCAAAUUCUGAAUGGAGUGAUUUAGUCAACAGCUUACGCUGUUAUGCAUUUUCAUAUCAGCAUAACAUCAUUUUAUGGGAUUAACGUAUGAGAUCAGUUGUAUCUACUAUAGGGCUCUAUAAUGUAGCCGGUACAAAAAAAAAAAAAAAGGGGGAAAAGUAUGAGCUCAGACGAUAUUAUACUGAUGGAUGUAUCAGCUGUCUCCUUGACAUGGGUUGUAGUUGAUGGUCGAUCCCUAUAUUAAAUGGUUUAUAUGUCCUAAUCUACUUUUAUCUAUGGGAGAACCGUUGUGCCGAGGCAGCUUCCCCGUAGGUUCCAGUCUGGUUAGCGCGCAAGGCUUCCCCCGCGCUACAGGAUGC
This 49693-nucleotide long non-coding RNA is filed under the name Elaeis guineensis (African oil palm). Its description in RNAcentral is "long non-coding RNA (EGUI_LNC006095)". Lineage: Eukaryota; Viridiplantae; Streptophyta; Magnoliopsida; Arecales; Arecaceae. The record is from RNAcentral.